Molecule: long non-coding RNA, 49504 nt
Filed under: Oryza sativa (Asian cultivated rice)
Lineage: Eukaryota; Viridiplantae; Streptophyta; Magnoliopsida; Poales; Poaceae
Description: long non-coding RNA (OSAT_LNC000299)
Rfam family: MIR812 microRNA precursor family (bases 37710-37913)
Source: RNAcentral
UUUUAUGUGGUCAGCAACGAGCCAACGACUCAACAUUGGUAGUAAAUCAGCUCAUCAUCGCUGGUGAGUCAAUUAUUAAGAAACUGGCAUUGCAGCGGAGAUAACCGGAAACAACAAUACGGAAUGUGGACAAAUUCAGCGGCGUAUUUCCACAAGAAGGGACCACUGGAAUUGAAUUGGAAGCAACGGUCUGUGCUGAAUUCUUCGAUAUGAUCAACUCUCGCGUCAGUGUACCAAUUUCGGCAAGUAGGGGCCGACUCAGGAUUAGCCCAAAGCACAGACCUCACCUAUGGUAGGCCUUGCACGGUAAUUACUCACUUAAUAAGGCGUACAUGAAUAUUCAACUAUUUAAACAUCUGACAACUAAUUAUUUUAUUAUAGGUUAAAUUUAUUUGAUAAAAAAUAAUAUCAUUGGAGUGACAUUUGAAUUUACUUUCAUAUGAUAAAAUUUUUUUAGCGUAAACGUUGUAAUAUAUGAGAAAUUUAAAGAGAAACAUAAUUUUUGAAUACCAUGCCAAGUUCAACAGCUCCUUAUUCAGUGGGACGGAGGGAGUACGUCGUAGGCUAAGUUCAGCAUUCAACUUUCCCAACUUAUAUAUAAUACCUUGUUUUCCUUGCACAUGUUUUCCAUACUGUUAAAUAAUAUAUAUUUUUUUAAAAAAAGUUUCUAUAGGAAAGUUAUUUUAAAAAAACAUAUUAAUCUAUUUUUAAAUUUAUUUUAAUUAAUAUUUAAUUAAUCAUGUGCUAAUGAAUUAUCUCGUUUCACGUGUGGGGAGGUGGACUUCCCAACCUCCACCUCCAAACAUAGCCCUAAUAGGUCUCCAAUAAAUCCAAGGCCUCGGGCCACGUCCUGGGUGGCCCGAGGCUUGGGUCUACCCCUGUCGGCAAAUGUAUAUUGCUCACUAUGGCAUGUCCCCUCAUGUGGCAAGCGACCACUGCUGCCACAACCGACGAUGACAACCUCGAGCUGAUGGCGUUCGUGACACGUGCGUUAAUGUUAAUGGCUCACCGCCACCGCCGGUGGCUUUGGAGUAGACGUGGGGAACCGAUUUGUUCCCGUGUGCUAGUGGCGCCACGUGAUGUAUGGGCCCCUGGUUCUCUGCCGGCUGUCAUGUCGCCUCUGCUUGCCUUAAAGCACGGAUAAUAGUGGACUAUAAGUUAGUUAUAAGCUUAUGUGGAGGAGAGAUAAAAAAAUAAGGAGUAUUGGCUCUUAUGUAAGAACUAACUCUAGACAUGUCCUAAAAUAAAUGCAUUAAGGCUGUGUUCCCAACCUCCCUCUCUCGCUUACCACUCGCACGCUUUUCAAACUGUUAAACUGUGCAUGUUUUGUAAAAAUUUUCUAUACAAAAGUUGCUUUAAAAAAAUUAUAUUAAUCUAUUUUUAAAGUUUUUUUAAGCUAAUAAUUAAUUAAUCACGUAUUAAUCUAUUGCUUCGUUUUUCGUGUAGGAGGCACCUAGCUAAGAACACAGCCUAAAUACAUAAGUGAAAAAAAGAUAGAGGGAAAAAAAUAAACACAACCUUAUAGCCACUCAAUUGUACUUGUUAGUUCUAAUAUAAGCUUAUAGUCAGUAGUUCGUGACUUCGUUCUACUAUUUAAACUUGAUCAUAUAUCCUGUAGUUAUGGUUAGACCUCUCGAUACGUUAAUUCAGUAAAAAAAAAUCGAAUCAACUGAGACUGAAUUACUCUAUCUUAACCAAGACUAAAUUCGGAUUUGCUAGUUAUCAGGUGACUGAGAUUUUCUCCAAAUCUAACUUACCUUCUUCUUGGGAGCCACAACCUCCAGCAAGGACUACUAUGGAAAGAAAGAAAAGGACGAGAGGUGUAACCUGACUAACUUCAGAGGGAUGGUGGCUUUGAGUGGCAGCUGGACAGAUGAUGGUGGUUCGCGGCAGGGCGAAACCAACAGGUGGUUAAGAAUUUAGGGGACGGAUCCGACGGCGAGCGGAGACGAGGAAGCAUUCCCUGUGAACUUUGAUUCGAAGUCGUGAUUUGACCCUUACCGGACUUGUUGUCAUUGACAAAGGAAGAAUGGAAGCAAAGACAAUGUUACCGCCUCGCUGGAAAGGCGCCCUUGACCGUGAAAUGCCUCCGCGCAAGCCUUGUUUUCAAAGAAAGAUCUCGUGAUUGUACACACGAAAUUUUCAUGGCGCAAUACAUCUGUGAUUCUUGAGAACUAUCCCUGUUCGUGAAUCCUUUAUAGUAUUUAUAUUUGUCACCGUUAACUAUUACGGUUGCAACUUUAACCACUAAUAUUUUGUUUUCAAUAAUUAGAUUAUGAUGAACAAAAAUAUAGUUUAAUACUUUUGUUUAAGUAAAUAAUACACUUUGAUAGCAUGGCUAUUAAAGUAUUUAGAAUCUUUUUUUAAAAAGAAAAAUUAUCAAAGUUUAAAUACGAAUAGUGCUUGGUGACAGAUACAAAGGAAUAGAUGGAAUAGUAUUUAACUUGUUCAACAAGAUGUUGAAGUGUUUGAUGAAAUUUCGUACCAAAAAUUCAUAGAAAAAUCAUUGGGGAUUAAUUUUACGUGCCAAUAACAUUUGCAACCCUUAUUUACAAAAUACAUUUGAGGGACGGCUUUAUGAUAGGCGAGCCCAAAAAUUCCAAAUGUCGCGAUGGUCCGAAUAUAUUCAAUAUUGGACUUGUCAUUUUAUAUUUCAAAUAAAAAAUAAUGGUUCAAACGGAUUUGAAAUACAAUACAUGAUUCCAAAUUUCUAGGCUGUUCUAGCGGUAGUCCUUGUUGAUGGCUGCUAAUUAGUACUCUGAUUGGAUUGAUUAUCUCUAGCAACUGUGGGCACACGACCAAUACAUGCAUCUUGACAAUUUAAAUUAACGCGUGAUUAGCGGCGGGGUUUGCUGACACGGUUGAGAGCAUGUUGAAUAGCAUACUAUAAACCAGCUAUACACAUUUUUUAAGCAGAUAAAAGAUGAGAGAUAAAAAUAGCGGACUACAGAUUUGUAGCCAGCUAUAGCACGGACUCCAAGACACAUUUUAUAUAUGAUAGAUGAGAUCAUAUAUUAAUUGUGUAGUAUAUAUUUAUAGAUAAUUAUUAUAUGAAUUAGCUAUUAAGUUAACUAUAAACGAUUUGGACCAAAAGUUAGCUAUACUAUUAAACUUGCUCUGAGAGUCAUGUGGCAUGUGCUGGUCACGGUGAAUAUUAUGUCGCGCGUACAGACAAAUAUUGGGAGGAAUCGGGAGAAGGCUUUAUAGCUAGUGAUGGCGCAUAGCGGCACUGUGCAGAACUGCAGAUGCGCAGCCCUGCACUGCACACAUGUACAUCCAGAUCAAUAUAGUUGCCAAAGUAAUCGUCAAAAGGAGUAUGCUUCAUCGUCGCUGGUGCAACACCGAACUAAUCAUUCGUCUUCCGUCGAGUCGCGCUUCAUCAACAUGAUUUCUCCGUCAACCUAUUUAUCAUCAACAACACAACAGCAUCACGGUGCUGUGCGCAUAUUUGCAUAUAUAGCCCGGUAUUAUCAGAGGGAUCAAAUAUACGCUAUAGUGCUGUGAGGUCGCGAAACCUGACCGACAGAAAAGUAAAGUAGAGCACAUAUGAAUAUAUCAUGGAUACGUUGUGAACUUGUUGUCAUGGAUACGUUGUGAACUUGUUGUCAUGGAUUUAAGUAUCCCAGCGACAGUAAACACAUGCACACGUCAUCUUUAUUAAUCGAUUAACAUGAGCUAAAAAUAAAUACAAGGCUAGUAUGACCCUCACGAGCGUUGGACCGUCUAACUUAUCAAAUAUCAGAGCUGGAUAUUUAUUUGUAUAAAUUUGGGAGGAGUUUGAGCCUUAUUGACAAUAGACCAACCAUGAUUUAUGCAUAUUUAUAUUCUUGUUCGUGAUACAAUAUCGAUGUGAAUAUCUAUUUGUAUAAACUUGGGAGGAGUUUAAGGUGGUGUUUGGAUUCAAGGACUAAAUUUUAGGACCUGUCAUAUUGGAUGUUUGACACUAAUUAGAAGUUUUAAACGUAAACUAAUGAAAAAACCCAUUCCAUAACCCUGGACUAAUUCGCGAGACAAAUCUAUUGUGCAUAAUUAAUCCAUGAUUAGCCCAUAUAAUGCUACAGCAAGCAUGUUCUAAUUAUGGAUUAAUCAGGCUUAAAAAAUUUGUCACGUAAAUUAGCUCUCAUUUAAUACUUCUAAUUAAUGUCCAAACAUCCAAUAUGAUAGGGACUAAAAUUUAGUACCUGAAUCCAAACACCACCUAAGCCUUAUUGGCGUCAGAUUGUUGACAGAAAACACGUGGCCUGGGAGAUCUGCUUAACUCCAGUGCAGGUCCAAAACUCGCCUUCGGAUGUAUUAGCGUGACAGUUGAUUUGAUCCUGUAAUCAACAAGAAAUAGAAACAAAGAAACCGUAGUUAAAUCUAUAAAUGAUAGCCGAUCGGCUAGAUGCCGAUGACAUAUCAUUUAUCUUUGGGCCGAUGUCAUCCAUGUAUCGAUCGGCAGUCAUAAAUAAGUAAAGAAGAACUAAAUCUACUCGAUCGGCUAUAGAUAUUAACGAUAUAUACUCCUUAUAUCGAUGUAUACUUAAAUCAAGUGAUUGGGAUAGAUUGGUCAUCAUGCCGAGACAGUAUAAAUCACUUAGAUCGAAAUAUAUGUCAAUAAUAAGACUAUAUAUGUUUAUAGCAUAGACGAUCAGAUAGAUCUAGCAUGUAUCGGCUAAUACUCCGAUACUACUCUAUAUCAAGAUAUUAAAGCAAGUAUAAUAUAUUGAGCAAAAGCCUAACAUACUUAGAUACAACAAUAUCUUAACAUAAAGGGCAGAUUUAACAUGUCAAUAAGGCAUAUAGAACAAAUGAAGUUAAAUCAGAUACGAUCGGCUGAAACUCCGAUGCUAUUCUAAUCGGCAACUAGAAGGCAGGCUAGAGAUCGAUAUUCUAAGCACGACUUAAUAGAUCAAACUCAACUGAUGCAGCAUUAAGUAUGAAAAGAAGAACAAUUUCUAGACAAUCAAGCCGCUAGAAGUUUCAUAGAAUGGUAGAUAUCUCAUAUAAUCUAGAUCAAUAUCAAAAUCUAACCUAAUCGGCUGCCCUCUGCAUACAGAUGUUAGCCGAUAGUAGAUUAGGUGGCGAUAUUGCUAGAGAUUAUGUAAGGUAUAUGAUAACUCGAUGAAUUAUAUAAAUAAGAUGAGAGUAUCAUAAAGAUGGAAGCACUAAUCCUAAGAACACAAUCCGUCAUAACGAAUUUUACCUCUUGUUGAUGAUCGAAAUCGAUGCAGCUCAACCCGAAAGCAAGAACUCGUCGAAACUAAAGCAAAAAGGGUGGCGAUGCGCCGAGAUUGUAUUGAACGUGUGUGUUAAAAAUUACAUAGGGCUCGGGGUCUAUUUAUACCCGAGGAUUACAAGAUAUGCCUAUACCGGACAUGACCACUAUCUCUAACAAACUCUAAGAUACCACAAGUCUUUGCGGCAGACUUUUGCCCACACUUAUCUAUAAGAAAUUUACAUAAAAUAUCCUAAUUAAUAGAUACAAUUGCCUUCCCAGGACUCCAUCCAUACGUGACAAUCAUCUUGAAGUACAUUAACUUGAACCCGAUGUCGCGUACAAGUCAUAUUGUCGGAAUCGGCUAUAUCGGCUUAUUUAGCUCGACUCAGACUCAGCCGAUCCCAACCGUAGCCGAUCCGGGCAUCAGCCGAUUCCUGCUUUGUUUCCGAACUCGAUCUUCUCUUCCGACUUUGCUUCGAUCUAAUCUUCUCUCCGAGGCUGAUGUUACCAAAUUUGGUUGUUAACACAGACCAACAAGGCUCAAACUGAAUUUAUUAAAAAAAUGCAGUUUGUUGAGAAUGAUGACCGAAAUUAACUUAAAGAAAUAGGGACUGUCUAGUAUUGUCAACUAAAAAAAUCAUUUAAUUUUUUGAACUGAUUGUACAAGAUUCAUGCGGAAACACGCAACAACCUUAACCUCACCCUUUUUUUCCCUUUUCCUUUUCCCGUGUUCACUUAGGCUCCGUUCAUAAGUCCUAGUUCCUAACUUCCUCCGCCUCAUUUUCCGCGCGUACGUUUCCCAAACUGCUAAUGGUACCUUUUUUUUAAAAAAAAAUUUAUACGAAAGUUGUAUAAAAAAUCAUAUUAAUUAUUUUUGAAAAAAAAAACUAAUACGUAAUUAAUCACAUUCUAAUGCAUUGCUCCGUUUUCCCAUUCCAGCGAACACAGCCGGAGCUAGUCCUGCGCAUCCGCAUCUUGGAAGAAGAAACGAGCAAAAUACAACACGCAAAAGAGUGUUUCCCUAUGCUGACGGCUCACGUCUUCUUUUUCUUUUUUCGAACGACUCACAUUGGAUGGUGCGAAGUUCUAUUGAUAAAACAGGAAAAAAUUAAAAGAUUACAAUCUGUAAGGUCGUAACCAGGAAAAACAAGGCUUAAAGUCUUCAAGAUAAGUUUUUAAAACGAGUCCAAGCCGCCGGGCAGACUGCGAAUUUGCAAACCCGUCGAAUGCCAGCCAGUGCACCCACAACUUGUUACUUGGCUUGAAUCAAACUACACAGUGGCAAGUGCUCCUUCCAGCUAUAUAUUAAUCACAUCAUAACCUUCAAUUUGCCUUAAGAGAUAUAGCAGAAAAGAAAGGACCAACCAACAGCGGCAGCAAUGGUGUUGAUCCACCAUACCCAUGACCAUGAGCUUCUCUUGCUCGCCAUCAUCAUCUUCCUUUCGUGCUCUAACAAUGGCCAUGCCUCCCGGCCUCACCUUCUUCAUCCACCACCACCAACGUCACCGACCGCCUUGCGCUCAUGUCAUUCAGGUCGCUCAUAAGGAGUGACCCAACCCAGGCACUCGCAUCCUGGGGCAACCAAUCCAUCCCGAUGUGCCAAUGGCGUGGUGUGGCGUGUGGGCUGAGUGGACGCCGCACAGGCCGUGUGGUGGCGCUGGACCUCACCAAGCUCAACCUUGUAGGCGCCAUCUCACCUUUGCUCGGCAACCUCACAUACCUGAGGCGGCUCCAUCUCCACAAGAAUCGCCUCCAUGGCGAGAUACCGUCGGAGCUCGGCCAUCUCCGAGACCUGAGACACCUCAACCGCAGCUACAACUCCAUCCAAGGGCCGAUCCCAGCGACGCUUUCAACCUGCAGAGGAAUGGAGAACAUUUGGCUCUACAGCAACAAGCUGCAGGGCCAAAUACCAAGUGAGUUUGGAUCCCUGCAAAAUCUUCAGGCACUUGUUCUUGGGGAAAAUAGACUUACUGGAAGCAUCCCUUCAUUCAUUGGAAGCCUCGCGAAUCUGAAAUUUCUAAUCCUAGAAGAAAACAACUUUACAGGAGAAAUUCCAUCAGACAUAGGCAGACUGGCCAAUCUCACUGUUCUAGGACUAGGUUCUAAUCAACUCUCAGGACCAAUUCCUGCCUCAAUAGGAAAUCUCUCGGCACUACAAUUUCUUAGUGUCUUCUCUAAUAACCUGGUAGGAAGCAUCCCACCGAUGCAACGCUUGUCCUCUCUCGAAUUCUUUGAACUAGGGAAGAACAAUAUCGAAGGAAGCAUCCCAACUUGGCUGGGAAACCUCUCAUCAUUACUUACUGUGAAACUUGGAGGCAAUAGACUAGAUGGGAACAUCCCUGAAUCACUGGGGAAACUGAAGUUGCUUACAUCUCUUGAUCUAUCAAGUAAUAAUCUAGUGGGCCCAGUACCUGAUACUAUUGGAAACCUAUAUUCCAUUAAGCAGUUUCAUGUAGAAAAUAAUGAGCUAGAAGGUUCUUUACCUUCUUCAAUAUUCAAUCUUUCCUCUCUUGAAGAACUCAACUUACAAACCAACAACCUAAAUGGGACCAUUCCACUUGACUUAGGCAACCGCCUGCCAAAGCUCCAGUUAUUCCUAAUAUCUGAAAACCAGUUUCAUGGCUCAAUUCCACCCUCCCUGUGCAAUAUUUCUACGCUUAGAUGGAUCCAAACAGUAAACAAUUCUUUGUCAGGAACCAUCCCCCAAUGCAUAGGAAUCAACCAAAAGAGCUUAUAUUCCGUAACUUUUGCAGUGAAUCAGUUUGAAACGAGUAAUAAAUAUGGUUGGAGCUUCAUGUCUAGUUUAACUAACUGCAGCAAUUUGCGACUACUUGAUGUGGGUGACAACAAGCUUACAGGUGAGCUACCAAAUUCAAUUGGCAAUCUUUCCACACGUCUUGAGUAUUUUGUCACCAACUACAACAGUAUGACUGGCAAAAUACCUGAAGGGCUAGGGAAUCUGGUCAGCUUGAAGUUCAUCGAGAUGAACAAUAACUUCUACGAGGGCACAAUACCAGACUCUCUUGGCAAACUCAAGAACCUGAAUAGACUAUAUCUCACUAACAACAACCUUUCAGGAUCCAUUCCAUCAAGUAUCGGCAACCUUCGUAUGCUAACAUUAUUAUCUGUUGCAGGCAAUGCACUUAGUGGAGAAAUACCCCCCAGUCUCAGCAAUUGCCCUUUGGAACAGUUGAAACUCUCAUACAAUAAUCUUACUGGGUUGAUUCCAAAAGAACUUUUCGCCAUCUCUGUCUUGUCUACUUCUUUGAUUUUGGAUCAUAAUUUUAUAACUGGGCCUCUGCCCUCUGAAGUGGGUAAUCUAACAAACCUUGCAUUACUUGAUUUCUCUAGCAAUUUGAUUUCUGGAGAGAUCCCGUCCUCCAUUGGUGAGUGCCAGAGUCUACAAUAUCUCAAUACAUCUGGAAACUUACUCCAAGGGCAAAUUCCACCAUCACUAGAUCAACCAAAGGGCCUCCUGUUGCUUGAUCUUUCUCAUAAUAAUUUAUCCGGAAGCAUCCCUAAGUUCCUUGGGACCAUGACAGGGCUUGCUAGUUUGAAUCUUUCAUUCAACAACUUUGAGGGUGAUGUCCCAAAAGAUGGAAUCUUUAGCAAUGCGACUCCUGCUUUAAUUGAGGGAAAUAAUGGCCUAUGUAAUGGAAUCCCUCAACUGAAGUUGCCACCCUGCUCUCAUCAGACAACAAAACACAAGAAGCAAACAUGGAAAAUUGCCAUGGCAAUUUCUAUAUGCAGCACAGUUCUAUUUAUGGCAGUAGUAGCCACAUCUUUCGUGUUCCACAAACGGGCCAAGAAGACAAAUGCAAACCGACAAACAUCACUUAUUAAAGAGCAGCAUAUGAGAGUUUCUUACACUGAAUUGGCUGAAGCAACAAAAGGUUUUACUUCUGAGAACCUCAUUGGAGCAGGGAGCUUCGGCUCUGUGUACAAGGGAAGAAUGAAAAUCAAUGACCAACAAGUAGCUGUUGCUGUGAAAGUGUUCAACCUCAAGCAGCGUGGUUCAUCUAAGAGUUUUGCAGCAGAAUGUGAGACUUUAAGAUGUGUUCGACAUCGGAACCUUGUAAAGGUACUGACCGUAUGCUCAAGUAUCGAUUUUCAGGGCCGUGAUUUCAAGGCCAUUGUAUACAAGUUCCUACCGAAUAGAAAUUUAGAUCAAUGGCUACACCAAAAUAUCAUGGAAGAUGGUGAACACAAGGCAUUAGAUCUCAUCACGCGACUAGAAAUCGCAAUUGAUGUGGCAUCCUCACUUGAAUAUCUUCACCAAUAUAAGGCAUCGCCAAUCAUUCACUGUGAUCUUAAGCCAAGCAAUGUUCUCCUCGACGAUGAGAUGGUUGCACAUGUUGGUGAUUUUGGCCUUGCAAGAUUUCUUCACCAGGACCCAGAGCAAUCAAGUGGUUGGGCAUCAAUGAGAGGCACAACUGGUUAUGCUGCUCCAGGUAAGCUCCUAAUUGUUGUAGCUUUUUUUUAUCAUAUUUCAUAUUAUAUGUAUCCUACUAUGCUGGAUUCAGCCAAAAUGGAGUAAGACUUAUUGGUACUUCAUUUUACUACAUAGACAAGUUUUGAUGAAACUCUUAUUUCCCUAGGAAUUUGAAAGGGGAAAAAUGAACAAGUAUAUGGUAGCAAAAUGUUGUAUCCUGUAAAUGGAUUUCGCACAAACAUAAAUAGGCUUGUGGAGUUAUUUUCUCAUAAGCCAUUUCUUAUUUUUAGAGUAUGGACUGGGCAACGAAGUCUCAAUCCAUGGCGAUGUAUAUAGCUAUGGUAUAUUGUUGCUGGAGAUGUUUAGCGGGAAGAGACCAACAGACAGCGAAUUUGGAGAAUCCCUUGGCCUCCAUAAUUAUGUCAAUAUGGCAUUGCCAGACAGGACGGCUAGUGUCAUAGACCUUAGCUUACUAGAAGAGACAGUGGAUGGCGAAGCAAAGACAUCAAAAUCUAACCAGACAAGAGAAAUGAGAAUUGCUUGCAUUACCUCAAUUCUGCAUGUUGGAGUUUCCUGUUCAGUGGAGACACCAACAGAUCGCAUGCCAAUCGGAGAUGCCCUGAAAGAGCUGCAGAGAAUAAGAGACAAGUUCCACAGGGAGUUGCAAGGAGCAGGAGCGACAAACCAUCAAGACAUUCAAAUCUGUUGAUGCGCAGCAACCAACCGGAUCAAUAAAGGCGUAAAGAGCUGCAAGAUUUCUGCUACUCCUUGCCAUCUAGGCUAGCCAAAAUAAAAUCAUAAUGUUGCAAAUUACAAAGUUUGGCAUUCUGUUUGAUCCUUGCCAUGAAGAUCUUGUACAUACUAUGAACCAACCACAUCUUGGCAAAUCACAUUAUUAUAUGCUUUUCCUUUGUUGAUAUUUCUUCCUCACAAAACCAUAUAUGCCUUUCUAUUCCCCUUUUGUAAGUGACACAGUAAACCUAGUCGCAGUGAAUCUCUAAAAAAAAAAAAACACUAUACGCUUGCAUCUUAGUUUAACUACCCGCAGGAUUCCAUCCAUCCAGGUGAGUUCCCCUUCCUUUGUUUCCAUUAGGUAAUCACAGAAUCACAGUAGAUCACUACAUAUAUAUGAACGAAAGUGGGGAAGAGGGCGUUCCUUCACCUCCGGGGUAGCGAACGCGUCACGCUAGAAGGAGAAGAGGCGUGUCGCGGGCGCGGGCCGGGAGCUCCGCUGCCGGCGCCGGGGUUGCGGCUUCACGGCGAGCUUCGCCUGGAUGCGGGGCCAGUGGCGCUCGCCGCCGACGGCGUCGGAUCUCCGGUGGGCCGUGGGGCGCCGCGUGGCGGAGAGAGAAAUGGGAGUGAGGGAGAGAACCCACCGAAGCAAAAGGGGAGAGUAGAUUUGGGCUUUGGGCUUUGCUUAAUGGGCUAUUCCCCCUAAGGCCGACACGCAUGUGGAUCCAUGAAUUUUGGAGGGUUUUUGGAAAAAGUACACCGAAGGUCCCUCAACUUGUCAUCGAAUUACAAAAUCGUACUCCAACCACAAAACCAGAUACAAUACAGGAGAUCCUUAACCCUUAACUUACAAAACCAUUUACUUCAGUUCCUUCGGUGGUUUUAACUUAGGUGGCGGCUGAGUCAGCGUGGGACCCACGUGGGCCCCACAUGUCAGUGUGUACAGUCAGCACCUCUCUCCUUCCACUGUUUUCUCACCCUCCUCUCUCUCACUCGGGCAGGGCAGCGGCAGGUGGGGAGGAGGCCGGCGGGUCGGCGGGGCGAGGCAGGAGAGGAGGUGCGGCAGCUGGCGGCGGCAGCGGGAGCAUGGGGAGGCCCAGCUGCCCGUCUGCCCCGACGCCGCCGCGGCGCGCCGUCGUGGUUGCGGGAGAGGCUGUCGACGAUGAGGAAGAGCUGGGCAGCGACGGUGGGGAGGUGGGCGUGGGCGGUUGCCGGCGGAGGAAGAGAUGGGCGGCGGCGACAGUGGGCGAGGAGCUGGGCCGUAGAGGCGAUGUGUCCGGCCUGUACUUUGAUCGUCUCAGGGGCAGUACUAUCACAAUUUCAAGUUCACCUGUCUCUUUUGUUCUUGAGAGAAGUUCAGUUGUUUCCAACGAAAGUCAACGCUUUGCUCCUCUCUCAAGGCCUCGAUACAGGAUUUUUUGUUUGAAAAGGAGGAUUUUCGGUAUUGAUUCCAAGUCAAUGGUACUAGUUUUGCUCAAGUAAACAAAAGCACAAAACACACAUACAUGUCGAGUUCUAACAUGUUGCUAGUGGAUGAAAAACGCCUCAGCUUUUACAGUUAGUGUCAUGAAGAUCUGCUAGAUUUUUUUCUUAUGUCCUGAUGCACUUGUUUCCUGUCAAAUUUCUAUGAAAAUCACGCAGAAUUCAUACGAUUUUAGACAGCCCCAACAUUACACACACAAACACAAAUGCAUAUACCAUGCUCAAUGUCCUGCUUGAAUCUCUUGUAUUCCUACAAAACAAUACACAUCCAAUUUCUCUUUACAAUUUACAAAUCACUUUACUGAUCAUUCUGAAAGAUGAUCAGUUGAGAAAUUUGAGGUAGUCCUUGAGGUCCGUGGGGAAGCAAGGGUACUACUGCCUCCAGAACGCGCCGUGCGCUCGCAGCAUCUUCACCGCCUUGUCCUUGGUCGACGGCGAGCUCUCCACCUGCAUCAGCGCCAGCAGCUUCGCCACGGCGCCGCCCACCACCAUGUCCUCCAGCACCCUCUCGGCGGGGGUGGGGGCGCACGCCACCAGCCACAGCACGUUGACGGCCAGCCUCGUGGCGAGCCCGGACACCCGGAGCACGGCGCGCGCCACGGCGGCCACCGCCAGCCCGUGCUAGGCGAAGGCCAGCCGCCCCUCGGGGCACUUACACAGGCGCUUCAGGAGGAGGAGCGACCGCUCGGCGACGUGGCGGUUGGCGUCGAGGAGGAGCACGUCGUCUUGCCGUACCUGAAGAACCACCGCUCCAUGCUGCGGCGGUCGUAGGUGACGCCGGUGGCCACCGUGACGGGGUCCUCCAUUAGCUCCAUCGAGAUGGGGCACUGGAACAGGGGAGGAGGCUCCAUGGCCGUCGUCCUGGUCGCCCGGCGGCCGCCGCCCUCCUCCUCCCACCACCGCGCUCGCCUCCGGCCCCGUGCCGUUCCUCGUCGUCGACAGCCUCUCCCGCAACCACGACGGCGCGCCGCGGCGGCAUCGGGGCAGACGGGGCAGCUGGGCCUCCCCAUGAUCCCGCCGCCGCCGCCGCCGCCGGCUGCCGCACCUCCUCUCCUGCCUCGCCCCGCCGGCCCGCCGGCCUCCUCCCCACCUGCCGCCGCCCUGCCUCGAGUGAGAGAGAGGAGGGCAGGAGGCGAGAAAACAGGGGAAGGAGAGAGGUGAUGGCGUGGACAGUCCGACAGGUGGGCCCCACGUGGGUCCCACGCUGACUCAGCCGCCACAUCAGAGAAAACUGGGUUCAAAACCAUUAAAGGACAUAAAAUAAACGGUUUUGUAAGUUGAGGGAUGUCGUAUAUCUGGUUUUACGGUUGGAGGACGAUUUUGUAUUUCGAUGACAAGUUGAGGGACCUUUGGUGUACUUUUUCCGAGGGUUUUUCAUGAUUGGUUUUAGUGGAUUUUAUCAUUCUUUGGGCUCCUUGCAAUGAAAGAAAAAUCAAGGAAUUUUAAAAGAUUUGAAUCAUACAAUGAAAUUUUCUAUGAGACUCUUUUGGGAUAAAAUAUUGGGUCUCUAAAAUUUAUACUCCUUAUAAAAGGGAGUAAUGGCCCACCACCAACUUUCAACUUUCUUUAAGAGAAAAAGGGACAUAGUCUCACUUGUUAACUACUCAUACCAACUCUCUAUUUUUUCUGGGAAUGAAAAAUGAAAGUUUUACAGAGCUCGCCAACCUUUAUCGCCGCUACUGCCUCCCACGACAGGCUCACUAGGUAUGCCGCCCACCUCGAGCCCACUCGUCACUUUUAUCGCCGCUACUGCCUCCCACGACAGGCUCACUAGGUAUGCCGCCCACCUCGAGCCCACUCGUCACUGACCUCCCACUGCCAUUGCUGUCUCUCACAGAUGGGCCUGCCGAUCGUCAACCUUCUCCCUGCUGGCAAGUUGUUGGGGAAGAGAAGAGAGGUGAAAGUUUACUUACAUGUGGCAUCCAUAAUUUUUUUUCUGAUUAGAAUGCCAUGUCAGUUAAAACAAACAUCCAUACUGUUUUAGAAGUAACUUGAACAGUUUUUGUUAAGAGGAGGGGUGAAAAAUUCCGGUUAUAUGGUUAGGGAUAUCACAUAAACUCGUCGUAAAGAUAAAGGACAGAAAGUGGACUUAUUCCACCUCUGUGCACUGACCGUUGAAGGUUUGAAGAAGCCCAAGAGAGCCCAAAGCAAGGCCCGUUUCUUCUUCUGCGGCGCCCGGCGCUCGGCGCUCGGAUCAAUCCCGCCGACGAGCGCCUCCGGCCGCCGCCUCCCUUCCCCCGCCGCGGGAAGCUCAUGGCCCUUCCAGCGCAGCCGCUCCCGUGUCCUGAACGACCAACCGCCGCCGCCGCCCGGCCAUCGCGUCAUCUUCAUCCACCCUCGAGGCGACCUCCCCGGAGGUAAACCGCUCCCCCCCCCCCCUCCUAAUGCCUGCACGAUUACUACCGAUUCCUUCUACAUAACUAGCAAAGUGAUCCGUAGGAACAUUUCUUGCAAAAUGGUUGUAGAUUCAGUUCUAGGUCGUCAACUCGUCCGCCUUGGAGAAGGGAAUAGAUCUCAUAGAUCGAAUGGGGUUUCUACUUUCUUCUGAACAAUUUUUUUUUUCGAACAAAUGCCCUAGUAUUCAAUUUUUUUUAGCCGCACAGCACUUACAAAUUUGCAAUCAUGUAUAAUAUAGAGCCUCUCUGUAAUUGAUGCUAGCUUUACAUAAACAAAAAGCUGCAGAAUCCGCAGCUUCCGGCACCUUAUUUGUGUGUUCAAUGACAUGGAGCAUAAUAUCAUGCCAUGCGCAAAAAUGAUCUUGGAAUGCUUCAUUGUCUUCAUUGGCUUGAUGUUCCUUCAUUGGACACAUGUUUCUCAAACUUGUCUCUUAUUGCUUGCAACUCCUUCAGAGCGUCUCCGAUUUGCACGCGGUCCGUUGGUGCCUCCUCUGAGCAGGAGAUUCCAAUGCGCAUAACCGAAGUGACACAAGUAAUUCUUAGAUCCUUGCCGUUGUAAGAGUUUGACUUGAUUGCUCCGCCAUCUUCUGUCUCUGGUAGUAACUGUUGAUCCAGAACAUUAGCCGCAUUGUCUGGCAAUGCCAUUUGGACAUACUUGCGAAGCCCAACCGCUUCCCCGAAUUCAUCGUCUGUGGGUCUUUUUCUGGUGAACAUCUCUAGCAACAGUAUGCCAUAGCUAUAGACAUCACCUUGAAUUGAGACUUCAUUGCCAAUUCCAUACUCUGAAACCAACAAAAGGAACUGUGAAGAAGAAGAAAAAAAUGGGUACAUUUCCCCAUUCUACAUAAAAGGGACUUCUGUCGAAAUAUACUCAUAUAAUUAAGUGAGUCAGAUAACAAGAAAUCCUACUUUAGAAAGCAGAUUUCUUGAGUUAUAUACACAGAAGAGAAUACAGAAUUAUAGCAAUUAGAGACUUAGAGGUGCACCUGGUGCAGCAUAACCGACUGUUCCUCUCAUUGAUGCCCAACCACUUGAUUUCUCCGACUCCUGAUGCAGAAACCUUGCAAGCCCGAAAUCGCUAACAUGAGCAACCAUGUCACUGUCGAGGAGAACAUUGCUUGGCUUAAGAUCACAGUGAAUGAUUGGCGAUGGCUUAUAUUGGUGAAGAUAUUCAAGUGAAGAUGCCACAUCGAUUGCAAUGCGUAGUCUUGCAGUGAGAUCUAAUGCCUUGUGUUCACUUUGUCCCAUGAUAUUAGGGUGUAGCCAUUGGUCUAAAUUUCCAUUUGGUAGGUACUCAUAUACAAUGGCCUUGAACUCAUUGCCCUGAAAAUCAAUACUCGAGCAUACAGUCAAUAUCUUCACAAGGUUCCGGUGUCGAACACAUCUCAGUGUCUCACAUUCUGCCAUGAAACUUUGAGAUGCACCACGUUGUGUGAGGUUGAGCACCUUCACAGCAACUACUUGUUGGUCAUUGUUUGUCAUUCUUCCCUUAUAGACCGAGCCAAAGCUUCCUGCUCCUAUGAGGUUAUCAGAGGCAAAACCAUUUGUUGCAUUGACUAAUUCAGCAUAAGAAACCCUCGUAUAUUGCUCACUAAUGAGUGAUAUUUGUGGGUUUGGUUUUGCCUUCUUGUUCCUAUAGUAGAAUGCAAACAGCAUAAAUAUUAAUGUGAUUAAUGGCAUUAUUCUGCAUAUGGAGAUUAUGAUGAUAAGUUUCCUGGAUGCCUUCUUGGUGGUUUGGUUGAAGCAGGGUGGCAAUUUCAUCUCUGGGAUACCGCCACACAGGUCAUCAUUUCCAGCGAGGAAGGUAGCUGUUGCAUUUAGAAAAACGCCAUCUCUGGGAACUUCACCUUCAAAUUUGUUGUAUGAGAGGUUCAAAAUAGAUAGACCUCUCAUGCCCCCAAGAAAUGCAGGGAUGCCUCCAGAUAAAUUAUUGUCAGAAAGGUCAAGCACCAGGAGGCCCUUUAGUUGCCCAAGCGACGAUGGAAUUAUCCCUUGGAGGGAAUUUCCAGAUAUAUUGAGCUGCUGCAAGCUCUUACAUUCACCAAUAGAUGUAGGAAUCUCUCCAGAAAUGUUGUUUGAAGAAAAAUCAAACUCUCCAAGAUUUUUUAGAUUACCCAUUUCAGCUGGUAAAGCCCCCGAUAAAAAAUUAUGUCCCAAAAACAUGUUACUGGACAAAGUAGAAAUGAGAAAAAGUUGUUUAGGUAUCAAGCCAGUGAGGCUGUUAUAUGAAAGAUCCAAUAGUUCUAGAGGACAACUGCUAAGAUUGGAAGGAAUGGACCCAUUGAGUGCAUUUCCUUGGAGUUGUAGUAGAUUUAGUCCUGUAAGAUUGCCAAGAGUUGGUGGAAUGGAUCCAGACAGGUUAUUAUAUGGUAUAGAUAAUUUAUUCAGCAUCUUGAGUUUGCCAAGAGAAGCUGGAAUAAUUCCCUCUAAACGGUUAAUAUCCAUAUAGAGCAAUUUUAAGUUGAUCAAGUUCCCUAUUCCUUCAGGUAUUUUUCCUUCUAUAUUGUUGUUCGCUAUGAUAAGAUAGCUCAAAUGCGAAGAAAGAUUCCCAAUUGAACUCGGUAGCUCACCUUGAAGCUUGUUGUAACCCAAAUCUAAUGCAUUCAAAUUGCUGCAAUUCGCCAAGCUGGAUAAGAAAACCCAAUCAGCAUCAUUUGUUGCUUCAAGCUGAUUUUUUGAAAGGGCCACAACUGAUAAGCUCUUCUGUUGAAUUCCAAGACACUGAGGAAUUCUUCCUGACAAAAAGUUGUAUACUGUUUGCAGAACUUGAAGCAUGGUGGCAUUACACAAGGAUGGUGGGAUUGUUCCAUGAAAUUGAUUGAUGUCUACAACAAACCUUUGUAGAUUCGGAAGCUUAUUGCCAAUAUCAGGUGGAAGAGCCCCGCUGAGGCGAUUGCUUUGUAAACCAAGAUCAUCAAGGGAGGAAAGGUUGAGCAGUGAAGGAGGAAACGAACCUUCUAGUUUAUUAUAAUCCAGACGAAGGCUACUCAAGGCACCAAGGUUUCCAAGAGAAUCUGGUAUGGAGCCUGAAAUAAGAUUAUUUUGUGAAAGAUCAAGGCUAGUAAGCAUCUGAAGUCUACCUAAUGAUUCAGGGAUGUGUCCUGAGAGCCGAUUUUGCUGGAGACUAACAAACACUAGAGAUGAGAGGUUCCCCAACCAUGCAGGCACAGUUCCUUCGAGAUUGUUCUCUCCCAAUUCAAGGACAAGAAGUGAUGAAAGGUUUUGCAGCGAUGGUAUGCUCCCUGUCAACUUUGCAGAAGGGAUGCUAAGGUACUUGAGUGCUGAAAGGUUUCCAAGUGAGGCAGGAAUGGAGCCUGCCAGCUGAUUAGAACCAAGACCUAGUCCAACAAGGCCAGCAAGAUCACCUAUCUCCUCUGGGAUUCCCCCAGUGAGGUUGCUGAAUUGCAGGUUCAGAGUCAUGAGGUUUGCAAGGUUUCCAAUCUCUGAUGGGAUGCUUCCGGUGAGGGUGUUCAUGCCAAGGCUGAGUACCCUGAGGCCGCGCAACGAGCAGAGCUCCGGCGGUAUCUCGCCGUGGAACCUGUUGUUGUACAGAGCGAGGAUCUCGAGGCCGGUGCAGUUGGCGAGCGACGCCGGGAUCUGCCCCUGGAAGGCGUUGUCACUGAGGUUGAGGUGUCUGAGCUCAGCGAGGCCGCCGAGCUCCGGCGGGAGGACGCCGUGCAGCCGGUUGCCGGCGAGGUGGAGCCGCCUCAGGUAUGUGAGGUUGCCGAGGUCCGGUGGCACCGUGCCACGGAGGCCAAGCCCCGGCAGCUCCAGCGCCACGACGCGGCCGCGGCGCCGGCCUCUCGCGCCGCACGCCACGCCGCGCCACCGGCACACGGGGACGGACCGGUUCCCCCACGUCGGCGGCGGCGGCGAGCCACUGCCCGUCGACAUGCGCGCCAUGAACGCCGUCAGCGCGAGGCCGUCGUCGACGUCGACCGCCGCCGCGGCGGCGGCUGCUGCUAGCCACGCCAGUGGCCAUACCGCGGCGAGCAAGAGACGCUUGCCGGCGAGUGCCAUUGGUGUCACUGUCACGUAAGAACGGUGUGCAAACUGCAUGGAAAUUGCUAUACUGAUGCGAGAGUUGAUCAUAUCUGUGCAUAUAAAGCCUUUUUAUAUGAUUAUAGGUACCCAUUUUAUAUCGGUUUCUGUUUCUGUUUAUAUUAGUAUGAUUUUCAAAUUGCUAAAUGAUAAAGUCUGCGCAAAAUUCUCUAUAGAAAUUAUUUUACAAUAUUCUAUUUUUUAAGUUUGUAAUAAUUAAAGUUCAAUUAAUUAUGUGUUAAUGGUUUUGUUGUUUUUUUUGGCUAAUUUCAUCUUCAUUUUCGAUGCAUAGACAGUUGCUUUCAAUCCAAUUCCAGUAGUCCAUUCUUGUGGAAAUACAUCACUGAAUUUGUCCACGGUCCACAUUUUUGGUUUCUGGUUAUUUCUGCCGCAUUGCCAGUUUGUUAUGGAGUUGCUACUUGCUAGUCUUCUGCAGAGACCAUGGACCAGCUUGAUUGAUUAACCAGCGAUUGCGAGGUAAUUUACUACCAUGCUGAAUCGCUGGACAUACGAAAAAAAAUCAAGGGCUACAAUUAUCUGAACAUGCAAAGGGAAAUUCAAUGAGUCAGCUCUAUUUUUUUUUUUUGAAGGAAGAUGAGUCAGCUCUAUAGGAAAGCAAAGCAAUGGCUUUCAGGGUUGUUGUCUGAUAGUGGGAUAACUACUGGAGCUUAUCCUGUUGAUGCUUAUUGACCAGCGCACCAAGGUUGACCAAUUGUGCUGCAACUUGCUGAUGGGCAAAGCAGCAGCGGCGCGAGAUAACUGAACAUUUCGGCAUUUUUGUUGCUGUUAAAUGUCGAGAGCAUUAUUUGUCCAUUGUACGUGUUGGUGUAGGCGAGAAGGCCCCCAUUCUUAUGUAAAAAGGAAACCAUUAUUUUUCAAGUGAUCUGUCUCAAAAUAAUUUGAUUCUCAAUUCAUCUUAGAGAGAAUGAACUAAGUAUAGAGAACAUAUUUUCCUUUGGAGCGCACGAUUAUCAAAAUACAGGCAUAGGAAAAAUGCAUGAGUAAAAUGUCAUCGCACUUUAAAUCCUAAAUCCUAAGUAAAUAAAACACAGAAAACCAUUUGGAUGGAGCACACGAAAAAUACACGAUUUUGACAAAGAGAAAAAUUCCAAGAACUUGGAGCUCAUAUUAGGAAUCCUUCAAAAUUCCAAUAAAACAUUUCAUUCCAAAGGAAUUUUUUUUUAAAAAAAACUAGCAUACUGCCCGUGUAUUUGCAACGUGAUUUUAGUUAAAGAAAAUUAUUAUUAACAUAUUGUCACUAUCCCUUAAUUGUUAUACAUAUUUGUUACUAACAUAUUAUUGAUCAUUUGACCCCCCCCCCACUAUAUCUUUUUGAGGCAAUUGCUUAUUUUAACCCUGUUACGAAGUCUAACUACUAAUUCGACCUUAUUUUUUUAGGUUUGCUUAUUUGACCUCGUUUUUCAAAAUUGAAGAUGAAGACUGACCCUAUUUUGUGUAGGCAAGAUAACGGUGUUAACUGAGUGAUGAUUUGUCCUUUUAACCCUGGCUCAUUUGACUCUAUUAUAUGAAAGCAUCUUGUGUUUGGACAUUCUUAACAUAUUUAUAACGAAUUUGAUAUAGCCUUGAUAGAUUUGUGACAAUUUUGACAGAUUUGGUCUCAAUUUAUUAAAUUUAGUUUCAGUUUGACAAUUUUGACUUUAAUUUUUUUUUAAAAAAUGACAAAACGGUUGAUAUACAAAAUUAUUUCUCCUAUUUUGUCCAUCCCAAAUUAGAUACAAUAAUAAAGCAAAAGCUCAGCAGCAGUCAAAGAGAUUGAACUCGAUCACAGCUAGGGUCAACGUUUCGAGAUUGAACUCAAGAAUGUGAUGCCCAGACACAGAUAGCAACCAGUAGAGGGCGUUGGCAACAAGUAUGGCAGGUGAACCAAAAUGGUAGAUGGUGGAUACAGGCCCUGUGAAGAUGGCAUCGCCCCAUUCGCCGGUCGCCGAUGAGUAAACGGAUACCAAGAUGAGGUGGGGAUUGGGAUGGGAUAGGGUUGAUUAGUAUUGAGGGUAUUUUGGUCACUUCAGGGUUGUAAAUUUAUUAUUUUCUUUUUUCUAAAUGAAGUACUAACAGUGGAUUGAAAACAGGGUCAAACGGAAACUUUCAUUUUGAAAAACAAGGUUAAAUAAACAAACCUAAAAAAAAGGUCAAAUUGGUAUUUAGGCUUUAAAACAGGGUCAAAUAAGCAAUUAUCUCUACACAUAAACUAUCUUAAAACUUAUUUCCAAAUCUGUCUCGAGCUUCUCGCCAAAGGUUGGCGCGGCCGCAAAGAUGACAGUGGCGGGGCUUCUCGCCAACCGGCUCGAGCAGCCAGGGGAGUCACCCUGGGUGGUGGUGGCAGCAACCACCAGAUCCAUACCGCCUCGGCCGGAUCUGGCGGGGUGGCGGCCGGCAGCGAGGAAGGCAUCGUCAACAGCGGUGGGGAUGGCGACGACGACGGCAAUGUCUCGGCGGCAAGAGGCGGCGGGGAUGGCGACAGCGAUGGGGAUGGUGGCAGUGGCGGAGACCGUAGAUCCGGCGGCAGGGCGCUUGGAUUUGGCACCCCCACGCCGGAUCCGACCGGUGGCGGCACGAGCGUGCCGGCGCAACCUGGCAAGAGGAUGGCGCAGCCGUGGGUGACGGUGGCGACGGGCCGGCGCGACGCGGCAACGCGGCCAGGGAGACUCGUGGCGAUGGCCGCGACAGUCGGCAGCCGACGGGAGGAGCGGCGCGGCCCGGCUGGCCGGCCGGCGCCGGCGGAGGCAGUGCGCACACGGAGGCGGCGGCGCGGCCCGAGAGACUCGCGGUGACAGUGGGCAGCCAGCGGAAGGAGGAGCGGCAGAUGGCUGGCCUACUGGUGGCGGUAGAGGUAGCACGCGUGGAGGUAGCGCGCGUGGUGGCGCAGCUGGCGACGGCGGAGGUCGGUGAGGUGCGGCCAGUGGUGGCCGCGGUGCGUGGAGGUGAGGCCGAGGUGCUGGUGCAGCACAACGAGGCUUGUUGGUGUGGAGACGGUGGUCGGCGCAACGAGUGGAGGCCAGCUCGGUGAGACGUGACCAGUGGCAGCGCGUGGAGACUGGCUGGCGGGGGGCACUGGUGCAGUGGUGCCCACGCGCCGGCGGAGGUUCAGAUGGCGGUGGAGCAAUGGUGCAUCAGUGGUAGAUCGGCAGGCGGUGGACGUCGGGUGAAAACCCAGGGCGACGAUGAUGUUCGAGCGUCAUUCCCAUCUUGAGGGCGUUGUCGUGUUGUUCCACCCCUCAAGUGUGGUUGCCGAGCGAAAGCGUAGUCUCGGUUCUCUUUGAGACCUUGAUGGACGGCAGCGGCGGCGGUGUUUUCGUCGCUUCUUUCCUUGGAGAUGUCGUCUAGGCACCCUCUUGCCGAAACCCCCAAAGCAAUUGGUGCAAGCCUGGUCUAGAUUCAUAUCCUCUUGUGUCGGCGUCCUAGCUUCUGCAAGUUGGCCACGUUGGAGGUCCUAGGGGAGAGAGGUGUUCCAUUCUUCUCUCUGACCCUCUCCCUAAAUCCCAACGACUUGGAUAGAGUGGGGUUUUGCACUGGUUGUAAGGGUCGGGUUUUGGGCGAUCUCAACUGUGUUCCAUUGUUGGCCUAGCGGUGGUCGGUCACGCUAAGCGGCGGCCAGUCGGAUGCUAGCCUUCUCCUAGGUCUGUGAUUGGCGCUGUCGGUGUGCGGAUGGUGGUAUACUUUUUUCGUUUUCCUUAUUACAACCUUACAGAGUUGUAAUCUUAUAUUUUUUUCUGCUUUAUCAAUAGAACUUCACGCUGUCUAUCGUUAAACUUUUUUUCCAAAUCUGCCUGCAGCUAUUGGUGCGACAGUGUUGUUUCAGCCUGCGAGACUGGGUGACGUGUCACGUGUCCAAAAGAUUCAAAUUUAGAAAUGACUUUUGGAUUUAUUUUUAAAAUUUAAAGUUUGUAAAUUCGCUGGUGGUGUUCAAAAGCAGGGACGAUAUGCAUAAUGCAUGAUGUGUGUUGGGGGUGGGGGAGGGGGUGAUCUCCCUCUUCUUUGUCGGAGAAAGCUUACCCGAGAAAGAGGAGGGCUCAUCGGAGAGACAGGAGAGAGCUCGCAAGAAAGCCAUCGUCGCUUGCGGUGAAGAAGACGAAGAGAGGUGGAGAGAGAGCGCCGCUAGUCUAGACCUGUGGGAGCAGCUGGGAACGCUACUCCAAGGGACAAAUUGUUUUUAUUUAUUUUUGAACAUUUUAUUUUUUAAAACUUUUAACAACAUUUAUUUUCAAAUCUACACUUUUUUUUUGUCACAUUAGACAUGAUAAAACAAGACUAUUACAUCACUCUGACUGAUAUGAUAACGUUAUUUUGCUACGCCACUCUAGAUGACGUAACAGUGCUGUUUUACUAAAAUAAGAUAAAAUAUCACGUCAACUAUUGGUGACGUGACAAUAUUAUUUCGUCAUAUCAGAUGGGAUGGCGUAGUAAAAAAAAGAUUCAAAUUCACAAAUAAGUAUUGAGAUAAUCUAUUAUUAAAAUCCAAAAAUUAAAAAGUUAAAAAAGUAAUAAAAAUUCCCGGUAGACCCCCCUUGCUUCCCACCGUUUCUGCUCUUCAGGCAGCUAGCUAAGUUCGUCCCAGUUUUGUUCCUACUGAAUUUUGGAGUAGAACAAAUCUGCACGAAUUUUUUUUUACACUCGUCAGUCGUCACACAAUAGAAUGGAACUUAAUUAUCCGAUCUUAAACUGAUCGAUACUACUUUUUUUUCCCUCUGAAAGUGACCAAUGCAAUAAUUAAUUACCAAAAGGUGAUUAGCACAUAAUAUAGACGAUCGAUGGACGCCUGAUCUUCAAUCGUUAUCGUGCGGGCUACCUGCAUAAAAUACCUUACACAUUGGCUGUUUAUCUGAUCAAAUAUUCAACCACACUAGAGACCUUAUCUGUGAGCAAUUCGAGGGCCUGAUAAUUGUCAAAGCUUUACAGAGUCAAAAAGUUCAGGCGCCAAUUUUCCUCGUGGCGCGUAGUGCCUAGCAACAACCAGGCUAGCAUGCGUUCCUCCAUGUCAGCCAAAUUAUCAGAGCAAAUUUGAUAGGAUUACUAUUAGCUUCAAAUCAUAUAUUCAUAUAUAGCUAAUCUAAUAGCUAAUUGAUACAAUAGUUAACUAUAAAUAUAUAUUACACCAUUAAUACAUGAUUCUACCUCUUAUACACAUAAUAUAUAUUACACAUCGUUUUCCUUCUCUCUCCUCUCUUACCUCCUUUACACGUGUUCAUAGCUGGCUUAUAGCCUGUUAUUAUAUUUCGGCAACUUUGCAAACCAUUGACCGCUAGUCUCAACAGAAUCUGCAGGAACAAAUCGACAAUCUCUUCGUCAGGUUGCAGCUGAAAAUGUUUGACGACGAUGCAGUACAAGCCAAGGAUCACAAUUCGCAAGGCAGAGAGAGUCUCAAAGCCACUACGUUUGCCACUACGAGUCUCGGCGAGCUGACCAGUGAGUGAGCGCCACAGCGCGCGCGCGUGCGCGGGCGCGGCAAUGGCCGCACUGCUCGAGUGCUUCUUGCUCGCCGUCGCCGUCGUCCUCGUCGCUCAUGCGGCGGCGCCGGCGCCGGCGGCGUCGUCUCGGCUGCCUCUGCCUCCUCCUCCUGCUGCUGCUGCUGGUGAUGUCUCCGGCUCCGACUCCGACCGCCGCGCGCUCAUGGCGUUCAAGAAGCUCGUGAGCGGCGACCCGUCGCAAGCCCUGGAGUCAUGGGGCGACGGAUCGACACCACUGUGCCGGUGGCGCGGCGUGUCGUGCGGCGUCGCGGCGGGGCGCCGCCGCGGCCGCGUCGUGGCGCUGGACCUCGCCGGGGCCGGCAUCGCCGGCGAGGUGAGCCCGGCGCUCGGCAACCUCACCCACCUGAGGCGGCUCCACCUCCCGGAGAACCGCCUCCACGGCGCGCUGCCGUGGCAGCUCGGCCGCCUCGGCGAGCUCCGGCAUCUCAACCUCAGCCACAACUCCAUCGCCGGCCGCAUCCCGCCGCCGCUGAUCUCCGGCUGCCGGCGCCUCAAGAACGUCCUCCUCCACGGCAACAGGCUGCACGGCGAGCUCCCCGGCGAGCUCCUCUCCUCGCUGCGCCGCCUCGAGGUACUCGAUCUUGGCAAGAACACACUGACAGGAAGCAUCCCUCCCGACAUUGGCAACCUUGUAAGUCUCAAACAGCUCGUCCUAGAAUUCAACAACCUGACAGGACAGAUCCCAUCACAGAUAGGCAAACUUGGCAACCUCACCAUGCUAAGCCUCAGCUCAAAUCAGCUGUCAGGCUCCAUCCCUGAAUCGAUCGGAAACCUCUCGGCAUUGACCGCCAUUGCCGCCUUUUCGAACAACUUGACAGGGAGAAUUCCGCCAUUGGAGAGGUUGUCAUCUCUUAGUUACCUUGGUUUGGCAAGCAACAACCUUGGAGGCACCAUUCCUUCUUGGUUAGGGAACCUCUCGUCACUGACAGCUCUGGAUCUUCAGAGCAAUGGCUUUGUUGGAUGCAUCCCUGAAUCUUUAGGUGACCUUCAGUUUCUUGAGGCAAUUUCACUGGCAGAUAAUAAGCUUCGGUGUCGGAUUCCUGAUUCCUUUGGAAACCUCCAUGAACUCGUUGAACUCUAUCUUGAUAAUAAUGAGUUGGAAGGAUCUUUGCCAAUUUCCUUGUUUAAUCUCUCCUCCCUUGAGAUGCUAAACAUACAGGAUAACAACCUCACUGGUGUUUUUCCACCUGACAUGGGUUACAAGCUUCCAAACCUGCAGCAAUUUCUUGUAUCUAGAAACCAAUUCCAUGGUCUAAUCCCUCCAUCAUUGUGCAAUCUCUCUAUGAUACAGGUGAUUCAGACAGUAGAUAACUUCUUGUCGGGAACGAUUCCGCAAUGCUUGGGAAGAAACCAGAACAUGCUGUCAGUAGUGAACUUCGAUGGAAAUCAGCUUGAAGCAACCAAUGAUGCUGAUUGGGGCUUCAUGACUAGUCUAACCAAUUGCAGCAAUAUGAUACUGAUAGAUGUUAGUAUCAACAAACUCCAAGGUGUGCUACCAAAAGCAAUUGGUAAUAUGUCAACACAAUUGGAGUAUUUCGGCAUAACAAACAACAAUAUAACAGGAACAAUACCUGAAUCAAUAGGGAACCUCGUCAACUUGGAUGAACUUGACAUGGAAAACAAUCUUCUCAUGGGGAGCCUUCCCGCAUCUCUCGGCAAUCUCAAGAAGUUGAAUAGAUUGUCUUUGUCAAAUAACAAUUUUUCAGGAUCCAUCCCAGUAACUCUUGGCAAUCUUACAAAACUUACAAUCCUUUUGCUUAGUACCAAUGCACUGAGUGGAGCUAUACCUUCUACUCUCAGCAAUUGUCCUUUAGAAAUGGUGGACCUUUCUUACAACAACCUUUCCGGCCCGAUACCGAAGGAACUUUUUCUUAUCUCCACAAUAUCAAGUUUCCUGUAUCUUGCGCACAAUAAAUUAACUGGGAAUUUGCCUUCAGAAGUGGGAAAUCUCAAGAAUCUUGAUGAACUCGACCUCUCUGAUAAUACGAUUUCAGGAAAGAUCCCUACCACCAUUGGAGAAUGCCAGAGCUUACAGUAUCUCAAUUUAUCUAGGAACUUCAUCGAGGACACAAUUCCUCCGUCACUGGAACAAUUAAGGGGGCUCCUAGUACUUGAUCUUUCUCAAAAUAAUUUGUCUGGAACAAUCCCUAGAUUCCUAGGUAGCAUGACAGGUCUUUCUACUCUGAAUCUUUCAAGCAAUGAUUUCGAAGGUGAAGUUCCAAAAUAUGGAAUAUUUCUUAAUGCAACUGCAACCUCUGUCAUGGGAAACAAUGACUUGUGUGGUGGGGCGCCUCAACUGAAGUUGCCAAAAUGCUCAAAUCAAACUAAACAUGGGCUGUCUUCAAAGAUCAUCAUAAUUAUCAUUGCAGGAAGCACAAUUUUGUUUCUCAUUCUAUUCACAUGCUUUGCGCUACGUCUAAGGACUAAGCUUAGAAGAGCAAACCCAAAGAUACCGCUCUCCGAUAAGCAACAUAUGAGAGUUUCUUAUGCUCAGUUGUCCAAAGCAACAAAUAGUUUUGCAUCUGAGAACCUCAUUGGAGUGGGCAGCUUUGGUGCAGUGUACCAAGGAAGAAUUGGGAUCUCUGACCAACAAUUGGUGGUUGCAGUGAAGGUGCUCAACUUGCAACAAGCUGGUGCGUAUCGAAGUUUUGAUGCAGAAUGUGAGGCUUUGAGAUGUAUUCGCCAUCGGAAUCUUGUAAAGAUUCUUACAGUUUGCUCAGGUAUUGAUUUCCAAGGUAGUGACUUCAAGGCGCUUGUAUUUGAGUUCCUGCCAAAUGGAAAUUUAGACCAGUGGCUACACAAGCAUCUUGAGGAAGAAGGUGAACCUAAGGUGCUAAAUCUCGUUGAAAGACUCCAAAUUGCGAUAGAUGUGGCUUCUGCACUUGAAUACUUACAUCAGCACAAGCCAUGUCCAAUUGUUCACUGUGAUCUGAAGCCAAGCAAUAUUCUUCUUGACAAUGACAUGGUUGCUCAUGUUGGUGAUUUUGGGCUUGCAAGGUUCCUUCAUCAAGAACACAGCAAUAGUUCAGAUAAAUCAACUGGUUGGAAUGCAAUAAGAGGAACAAUUGGCUAUGUUGCCCCAGGUGUGCACAAUUCUAUCAUCAUCUUGUUGCAUUUGUUUCUUUACUUCAUUCCACCUAAAUAAGCUUACUAAGUUCUUUAUGUUUGUUUAUUCCAGAGUAUGGAUUGGGCAAUGAAGUCUCAAUCCAUGGAGACGUCUACAGCUAUGGCAUACUUUUGCUGGAGAUGUUCACUGGAAAAAGGCCAACAAACAGUGAAUUCGGCGAUGUUCUUACUCUUCAUGAGUAUGUAGAAACAGCGCUGCCAGACCAAACAACUAGUGUCAUUGACCAAAGCCUACUAGAUGCGACAUGGAAUAGCGAAGGAACAGCUCAAAAGUACCACGACAUCGAAGAGAUAAGAACUGAGUGCAUUGUUUCAAUUCUGAAGGUCGGAAUAUUGUGCUCAAAAGAGAUACCAACUGAUCGGAUGCAAAUUGGGGAUGCAUUGAGAGAGUUGCAGGCAAUUAGAGAUAGGUUUGAUACACAUCAGCUAUAGUAGCCUAUAUCUUGAUGAAGUGGUGCAGCAUAUCAAAGUCAUGCUUGUGCAUGAAAUAUUCUACUUCGUACUAUUUAUCUGUUGAGGGUCAUGCACUUAUCAGUCAAGUAAGUCUGCAAGAAGACACUGGAGGCUGAACAUGCUCUACUGAAGAUUUUAGGAGUUGGAAGCUAAAAACGGAUAUCGAGUAUCAUGGAAGAAGCAAAACAUCUUCAGCUAAGGAAAAGGAGGAAGUUAAUUGAAAUAAACUAGGGCAAAAUGCUGUACUACAUUAUCAAGCAAAAAUAUUGUACUCGAGCAGCUACAGUCAGCUUAUGGCCACACCUACACAACACUCUGUAAUGGCUGAGAGGUAUACUAAAUAAGAGCCUAUAGCAAUUCGUAUUGCAGGGCAUCCAAUUAGCUACUCAUUUUCGCUCUUCGCACAUAUAAUUCUUGACUGAGCAAUUCAUAAACAUGUCAACAUGGCAGUGCCUGACUUGGCUAAUACUGUUGACAACUGUUGCAAUAAGCAGCACAAGAUAGCGACGUAAGAACCUCCAUCUGUCAUAGAAGUAGACAUGAGAAUUGUUAACACAACUUUUGUUCUGAAUAUUGGAAUUUCUUGUUCAAAUUCAACGAAUCUCCCACAAAGUAAGAGAUGCAACCAAUAAGAAAAAGGUUUAACAGGGAUUUGCUCCGAGAAUGGAGCAUCAACCCAUGAAGCAGUACAAGGUAUUUCCAGUGCAGGUCAUCUUGAAACUAUUGCACAACUCAAAAAAGGUCAAUCUUGAUCCAGGGGCUCUUGGCUAAGGCCCUGGAUGUGGUCUAUUCUACUGUAGACUGGCCCUCCCCUUAAGAGUUAGGUUUAGAAUUUUGGAUCGAUUGAUCACAGCCGAAUUUGGAAUGCAGGAAUCUUGUCUUGUCCAUGCAAAAGAUUUGAGCAUUUAUAUGCACUUUUAAGAAAAAUCAUCUGAAAUUCCUGUGUUCCUAAGGAGCCAAAGUGACAGAGUUAGUCUGUGUCAUUACUCAUACCUGCGAGCAGCAUAUGCAGUCCAAAUUAGUUGAUAUGUGCAGUCCAAAUGAGAAUGCUUCCCCUCCGAUGGCUAUAUUCCUUAUUGUAUAAGUACACUAUAGUAGCAUAGCACCAUAUUGCCAAUUUGCCAUCAACGUCAAAUAAUUGACACGCACAGCUCAGCUCUUCUACACCAGAUAUAUGGGAACAAACGGAAGACCUUUAAUAUUGUUCCGUAAAUUAUGCGUAGAAAUGUUUCAUAAAGGACAAAUCAAGGCCGGCCAGCCAGCCAGCCGGCCUAAUUCAUCCUUCUGUCCUGCAUGAAGCCACAUGAGAAUGCUGUUGGCAGAAGAUUCAGAGUAUCUUGCUACAUGAGUAGAUUUAGAUAACACACUUACUUUAACCCAAACAAGCUGGCAGCAAAGUUUGACCAGGGAACCUGUAAACUUCUGGUAGGAGGCCGGCUAUCUGAUGAUUGACUAAAGUUGCAACAGAACAGAAUGUUGGUAAUCAAUUUACUACAACUGAAGGGUGUUGACCAAAGUGCAGGUACUACCUGAGAAAGUGACAACUUGAUUGGGAUCCAAGCUAUUGAUUUAUCUUGACGACCAACACACCAUGCUUAUAUUCAGGCAGGAGAAUAUGUGUUGUCUCUAUAGAGCAGAAGCAACCAUUCCUCCCAUGAACUGGUAAAGCUGGACUGAGUAGCCUCUGCAAUCACCACCUAAGCUUCUGUUUUUGAAAAUACACACCUCGCUUCCUUCUUUCUAGCAAUGGUGGCGACCGGGUUCUCUUUCUUGCUCACGCUGCUGCUCCUUGCAACUGCUGUUCCACCAGCUCCCACGACCAGAGCUCAGCCUGCCACCGACCACCUUGCACUGAUGGCCUUCAAGUCGCAAAUAACCCGUGAUCCGUCGUCAGCAAUGGCCUCGUGGGGUGGCAACCAAUCGCUCCAUGUCUGCCAAUGGCGAGGUGUGACGUGCGGCAUCCAGGGACGCUGCCGUGGCCGUGUGGUGGCGCUGGACCUCAGCAACCUUGAUCUUUCUGGCACCAUUGAUCCUUCCAUAGGCAACCUCACCUACCUGAGAAAGCUUGAUCUCCCUGUGAAUCAUCUAACUGGUACCAUCCCUUCAGAGCUUGGUCGUCUUCUCGACCUCCAGCAUGUCAACCUGAGCUAUAAUUCUCUGCAAGGUGGCAUUCCGGCAUCACUGUCACUAUGCCAACAGCUUGAGAACAUCAGUCUGGCAUUCAACCACCUAUCAGGAGGGAUACCUCCAGCCAUGGGUGAUUUGUCCAUGCUGCGCACAGUCCAGUUGCAGUACAACAUGCUUGAUGGAGCGAUGCCUCGCAUGAUAGGUAAGCUGGGCAGCUUAGAGGUCCUUAACCUCUACAACAACAGCCUUGCAGGAAGCAUUCCGUCAGAGAUUGGAAACCUCACCAGUCUAGUAAGUCUUAUCCUGAGCUACAAUCACUUGACAGGUUCAGUUCCAUCUUCUCUUGGUAACCUUCAGAGGAUCAAGAAUUUGCAACUGAGGGGGAACCAACUUUCAGGGCCAGUUCCAACGUUCUUGGGGAACCUAUCUUCACUAACCAUUCUUAAUCUUGGCACUAACAGAUUUCAGGGGGAGAUUGUGUCAUUGCAAGGACUGUCAUCUCUGACUGCCCUAAUUUUGCAAGAAAACAACCUUCAUGGUGGCAUCCCUUCUUGGCUAGGAAACCUCUCUUCACUAGUUUACCUAAGCUUGGGAGGGAACAGAUUAACUGGAGGAAUUCCUGAAUCAUUAGCAAAACUUGAGAAGCUAUCUGGACUUGUUCUUGCUGAAAACAAUCUUACAGGUAGCAUUCCUCCCUCCCUAGGAAAUCUUCAUUCUCUAACAGAUUUGUACCUAGAUAGGAAUCAGCUCACUGGGUACAUUCCUUCUUCCAUUUCCAAUCUCUCCUCUCUUAGAAUAUUCAAUGUACGGGAUAACCAGUUAACAGGAUCAUUACCAACUGGCAACAGAGUCAACUUCCCAUUGCUUCAAAUAUUUAAUGCAGGGUACAAUCAGUUCGAGGGUGCCAUUCCAACUUGGAUGUGCAACUCUUCUAUGCUUAGCUCAUUUUCAAUAGAAAUGAAUAUGAUUUCAGGAGUAGUUCCUCCUUGCGUUGAUGGCCUAAAUAGUUUGUCAGUCCUGACAAUUCAAAACAAUCAACUCCAGGCAAAUGACAGUUAUGGUUGGGGAUUCCUUUCUAGUUUAACUAAUAGUAGUCAGUUGGAGUUUCUAGAUUUCAGCAGCAACAAAUUUCGAGGGACUCUACCAAAUGCAGUAGCAAAUCUUUCUACAAAUUUGAAAGCUUUCGCCCUAAGCGAAAACAUGAUAAGUGGCAAGAUCCCUGAAGGAAUUGGAAACCUUGUUAAUUUAUUGUACCUUUUCAUGAGCAACAAUUCUUUUGAGGGUAAUAUUCCUAGCUCACUUGGUACACUCUGGAAGCUGAGUCAUUUAGACCUUGGAUUCAAUAAUCUAUUGGGCCAAAUUCCACCUGCCCUUGGUAAUCUCACAUCGUUGAAUAAACUCUAUCUUGGACAAAAUUCACUUAGUGGGCCUCUGCCAUCCGAUCUUAAAAAUUGUACUUUAGAAAAAAUUGAUAUUCAGCACAAUAUGCUCAGCGGUCCAAUUCCAAGGGAGGUUUUUCUCAUAUCUACCCUGUCUGAUUUCAUGUACUUCCAAAGCAACAUGUUCAGUGGGUCACUACCAUUGGAAAUCAGUAACUUGAAAAAUAUUGCAGACAUCGAUUUCUCUAAUAACCAAAUUUCUGGUGAAAUUCCUCCAUCUAUUGGUGAUUGUCAAAGCCUGCAAUAUUUUAAGAUACAGGGGAACUUCCUUCAAGGGCCAAUCCCAGCAUCAGUGAGUCGGCUGAAAGGUCUUCAAGUACUUGAUCUUUCACACAACAACUUUUCUGGAGACAUUCCUCAAUUUCUAGCAAGCAUGAACGGCCUAGCUAGUUUGAACCUCUCAUUCAACCAUUUUGAAGGGCCAGUUCCUAAUGAUGGGAUAUUUCUCAAUAUAAAUGAAACUGCAAUUGAAGGGAAUGAAGGCUUGUGUGGGGGUAUACCUGAUUUGAAGCUGCCUCUUUGCUCCACUCACUCCACCAAAAAGCGGUCUUUGAAGCUUAUCGUAGCAAUUUCCAUAAGCAGUGGAAUCCUAUUGCUUAUCUUGCUUUUAGCUCUAUUUGCAUUCUGGCAAAGGAAUAAGACACAAGCAAAAUCGGACUUGGCACUUAUCAAUGAUUCGCAUCUAAGAGUAUCUUAUGUUGAAUUAGUCAAUGCAACAAAUGUUUUUGCUCCUGAUAACCUCAUUGGAGUAGGAAGCUUUGGAUCAGUGUACAAAGGACGAAUGACGAUCCAAGACCAAGAAGUAACUGUUGCAGUUAAAGUGCUGAAUCUCCAACAGCGUGGGGCUUCUCAAAGCUUCAUUGCAGAAUGUGAGGCUCUGAGAUGUGUUCGGCAUCGAAAUCUUGUGAAGAUCCUAACAGUCUGCUCAAGUAUUGAUAUUCAGGGCCAUGACUUCAAGGCUCUUGUAUAUGAGUUCAUGCCAAAUGGAAAUUUGGACCAAUGGCUACACCAGCAUCUUGAGGAAAAUGGGGAAGACAAGGUUUUAAAUAUCAUCAAAAGGCUCGACAUUGCCAUUGAUGUGGUUUCUGCACUUGAUUAUCUUCACCAACAUAGGCCAUUGCCAAUUAUUCACUGUGAUCUCAAGCCAAGCAAUAUUCUCCUAGAUAGUGAAAUGGUUGCUCACGUUGGUGAUUUUGGGCUUGCAAGAGUCCUGCAUCAAGACCAUAGUGACAUGUUAGAGAAAUCAAGUGGCUGGGCUACAAUGAGAGGAACAAUUGGAUAUGCUGCUCCAGGUAUGCUUCUAACAGCUACAAUCCACGGUUUUCUUUCUAAUUUAUUCACAAACCUUUCCAUUGAUCCAUACUUAAGUAGAUCGUUUUGCUAUUCAGAUGUGUGCAAUUUGUUAUGAAAAACUCAAAUUCUUGCAAAUGAUAAUUAUGCAGCAGUGUAAAUUAUAUAUUAUUAGACUGAAGCCCACAUAUAAAUUUAAAUAUAAAUGCUUAAACAUGCAACAACGUCCUUUAUGUAACAUUUUCUUAUGAUUACAGAGUACGGUUUGGGCAAUGAGGUUUCAAUUCUGGGUGAUGUCUACAGCUAUGGUAUACUGUUGCUGGAGAUGUUUACCGGAAAAAGACCAACUGGCACUGAAUUUAGAGAAGCUCUCAGCCUUCAUAAUUAUGUAAAGAUGGCACUUCCAGACAAUGUGAUCGAUAUUGCAGACCAACACUUACUAUCAGAGAACAAUGAUGGAGAAGAAAUAAACUCAGAUGGCAAAAGAACAAGAGACACGAGAAUAGCCUGCAUCACAUCAAUUCUGCAGAUUGGAGUUUCCUGCUCAAAGGAAUCUCCAGCAGAUCGCAUGCAUAUUGGAGAAGCUUUGAAAGAAUUGCAGAGAACAAAAGACAAGUUUAGCUUGUCCCUGCGUUGAAGCAUCAAAUCUCUGAAUAAUUUGGCAUAAUAAUCCCCAGGCUAUAAUAGAUAUUUACAGCCUAGCAACCGAAGCCUUAUCAGCAUAGGUUCAGGUUGUAUGAGUAGCUUCAUGAUGUUCACACAUGCAGGGUGCUGUUACUGAACAAAAUAUAAGAACCAUAAACCAUUUGGCAUUUGCAGGAAGAAUAUGUAAAUCGACUAACUGCACAUACAGUUUUAUGUUUUUUAUUUUAUUUUUUUGCUUGUAGCCUACAAAACUAUUUUGAUGGAAGCAUUCGAUAUGUUACAGCACGCGAGUUCACAGAAAUUACACUAGCGGUCCUUAAACUUGUAACGAAGUUUUACAUAGGUCCACGAACUUGCAAAACGUGUAUCGAGAUCCUUAAACUUAGUUUAAUGUAUCAUCCCAAUCCAAAGCCUGGUUUGACCGUGGUCUUGCCUAUGUGGCAUGCCACGUGGAUGAUGACAUGGCUAAAUUUUCUUUUUCCCUUUUUUUUCUCCCCAUCUUUUCUCUCCUUCCUCACCUAGCGUGGAGAAAACUGCGGCGGAAGGGAGAGGAAGGAGGCAAAAUGGAGAAAAAAAAAGAUAAGAAGGGAGAAAAAAAGGAAGAAGAGAGAAAAAAUAAAAAAGUCCAUGUCAUCGUCCACGUAGCAUGCCACGUAGACAAGACCACGGUCAAACGAGGCUUUGGACCAGAAUGGUACAUUAAACCAAGUUUAGGGAUCUCGAUGUACGUUUUGCAAGUUUGUGGAUCUAAGUGAAACUCCAUUACAAGUUAAGGCCGUGCUCCCUGAAAAAUCUCAAUUCCAAUUGUUCCGUACUGCAAUUGCACUAAACUAACCAAAAGGAAUGGCCAUUUACCAAGAUCCAUACCCCAUACCCAUAGUAUAAUGUUUCUGUUUCCCCAUUUGGUCGAGAAGUUGCAAACUCAGAUGCAUCAACAUCAUCCCAAGCAAACGAGAGAGUAUCAGUGUAUUCACAAAAGAAAAAAAAAACAGUUUCCGUGUUUACCCCUUCGAUGAAAGCGGGGGAGGAGAAAGCGGAGGCGGGGGUGGAGAGUCGCCACCGAGUCGACCAGUUGAGACGCUGGGUGGAGAAGGGGGCCUACGCAGGCGGCGGCCGCCGGACUCCGGCGAUCUCGGCGGCGUGAUUAGCCGACCGCCCUGCCUAGCUAGAACAAAAACCCAGAAGGGUAAAGGAAAAAUCGCAAUGCGCGCUCGAUAUAUACCUCGUGGUGGCGGAGCAUGAGGCGUGCGGGGGGCGGAGACGAUCGCGGAUGCCCCCACCAUCGCCGUCAGCCAGGGCGACUCGCCGCCGUACGCGCGCCGGAGAGGAGACGGCGGCGGAGUUUUCCCGGAGAAGACGCCGAGGCGGCCUGCAGAGCAGGCUCGUUGUAGCCCAGCCCACCUGUCAAAUCACCAGGGCCCAAUCCUGUACGGGCCUCAAGGAGGCAGCAAUAAUCCCGUCCCGGCCCAAAUGUAUGGGCCGCCCAGAAAAAUAAGUCUUUUUUACAUUCCUCAACUCUUAUCCACUAAUUAAAGGGAAAAGUACACGCAAGGUCCCUCAACUUGUCAGCGAGAUACAAAAUCGUCCCUGAACUGCAAAACCGGACAUCCGGCGUCCCCCAACUUACAAAACCGGUCACAAAAGGUCCCUCAGCGGUUUUGACCCCGGUUUUGUCCCACGUGGCGGCUGACUCAGCAUGGGACCCACGUGGGCCCCACAGGUCAUGGAGACCACGUCAGCACCCUCUCUCUUUUUCUCCUCUCUCUCUCUCCUGCCUUCCCCUCGCUCUCUGCUCUCGCACAGGCGGCUGCGCGCGCGGCCGGAGGGUGGUGCGGCCGGCGACGGCGGCUCCCUGGUGGCGGCGCGCGGGCUCAGGGCAGCGCGAGCUCGCCGGCCUCCUCGUCCCCCUCGUGCGGUCGGUGAUGGCGGACGAGCGACGAGAAGCAGGCGGUGCGACGCCCCCGCCGCGUACAGUGGCGCGGUGACCGUGGCCGCCAUCGCCUAUCAGAGGAGACCUCCGCCCGCGCUCGAAGCCGCCGACGACGAUGAGGCCGAGCGGCGCGGAGUCGUCGGCGCCGCCGCUCCCCAUCCGCAGCCGCACUCGCCUGCCGCCGCCGAGCUUGCUGCCCCGUGUCUCCGCCGCCGCGUCGCCGCCCAGCACGAACCUCACGCUCGCGCUCGCGCUCGCGUUCGCCGGGUGGGGAGCCGGCCGGUCAAUCUCCUCUCCGCCGCUCCUUCCCCGUCGGCCGCGCCGCCCGGAGAUCCUCAGCGUCGAGGCGGCCGCGGCGGAGACGGCCUCCCGCUCCCACUGCCGCUGCCGCCGCGGCUCCUUGCUGGUUGCAAGACGACGACGGAUGAUGCGACGGCGCGGCGCCGUCGAAUCCUCUGAGCAGCUUGUCGAUUCCUUCACGCACCGCAGCGUGGUGUGGAACGCGGCGGCGUCCGGGACAAGCCGCAGGAUCUCGUCGGCCACGCGGACGCCGUUGAGGCUGCGCACCGUGGCGAGGUCAAGGCCGCGCCCGUCGCCGCCGCCUUGCUCCCCUGCUCCCGCGUCGUCGCCGCCGCCACCUUGCUCCCCUGGUCGGACGGCCAUCGCGCCUACAACCUCCUGGACGACGGCCACGACACCGUCCAGGCCAACGUCGAGCUCGGCCUCGCUGUCGACUCCCGCGAGUACGGCAUCGGCGCCCCAGGUAGCAAAGUUCGUCGGGCUCAAGGGCUACGGGCUCGCCGUCGUCGGCAGGGUUCCGGCCUCCCCGCGCCUCCGCCGUGCUUCCCCACUAUGGCCGCCGCCGCCGCCGUCGCCGUCGUGGCGCCGCCCUCCUCCUCUCCUGCUCGCCCCGGCUAGCUUUGCAGAUAAGUGAGAGAGAGAGAUGACGAAGGGAGAGGAAGGGAAAGAGAAGAGAGAGAGGAGGCUGACGUGGUCUCCAUGACAUGUGGGGCCCACGUGGGUCCUACGCUGAGUCAGCCGCUACGUGGGACAAAACCGGGGUGAAAACCGCCGAGGGACCUUUUGUGACCGGUUUUGUAAGUUGGGGGACGCCGGAUGUCUGGUUUUACGGUUUAGGGACGAUUUUGUAUCUCGCUGACAAGUUGAGGGACCUUGCGUGUACUUUUCCCCUAAUUAAACAGGGGCAUGAAUUGAGGGAAUCUUAUAGACUUAUUCUAACCAUAAGCCCGUUCCGGCCCAAACCGCACGUACACCGCAAUCCUUUUUCGGCCCGCUUUAUCCAGUGGCCAUCACCGAGUGCAGCCGGACUGCCGGAGCCAGAGCAGCCGUCGCCGCCGCCGGCGAGGCGACGCAACGCGCAAACACGGUGGAGCUUCUCGACGUGGACAGGAUGGAAAUCAUGGCGUCGGGGCGGAGUGCACUCCUCGGCGGCAAGCCAGCGACCAUGGGUAACUCAGUGUAGACAAUUUUUGGAGCUACUGCCUCCAUUUUAUAAUGUAAGACUUUUUAGCAUUGUCCACAUUCAUAUAGAUUUUAAUAAAUCUAAAUAUAUAUGUGUUUAGAUUCAUUAACAUCUAUACAAAUAUGUGCAAUGCUAGAAAGUCUUACAUUAUGAAACGGUGGAAGUAAUUUGGUUUUCUGUUGGCGAAUUUCUAUCCAUUAUCUUAAAAAUAAAUUAAUUAUGAUGGUUUUUUUUAAAAAAAAUGUUUUCUGUUUGAAAGUCAUGCUAGUACAGUUAUAAUUGUUCGGUGUGAAUUGACUGAACAAACUCUGGCAGAGUCGUUAUAAUUGACGAAAACUUAAAAUUUAAAUUGUUACUACAUUCACUAUAACUUCGCUCCUCCUCUACUCCUUGGCACAAAUUCAACCAAUCAAAAUGAUUUGAAGAUUGGAAAACCCUUGUUUUUAUCUUCUAGUUUGAAGCUUCUAUCUUUGCCUUUUCAAUGGGCAUAGUCUCAAUCUUCGUCAUAGUUCUAACCAUCAUGUAUAUCAACAGAGAUCACUUUAUAACCACUUUUAAUUCUACCAAUUUUUGACAUAUUUUGUGUUACUAAAUUUUGAUAGUGUUGGAUAUGUUUGGUUUAAAGCCUUACCAAAUUUCAUCAGAAAUGUUAAGAGUAGAGACUUCUAGAACUACCAAAAUUUAGUAAGAUAGUACUGAUAAAAUAUGCUUGGUUUGUUGAGCUACCAAAAUUUGGUAGGUUUGAAAGUGGCAAAAAAGAAAAAAAAUAAACAAGCUCUAAAUAACCACCUUACAUGCUUAGAUUUUCAUGACCUAAGUACCUAACUUAUGUUAGUCAAUACAAGUUAAACACGCACAGUCGCACAACCGUCCGAAGGAUUCACACUUGACAAACUUCAAAUAAAACCAAAAUACAUGGACCCGACUGAUAUUAAUUUCCACAUGGUCUCGAUCAUAGCUAGGGGCAUCCAAUUCUGCGCUAAUCCUUUUCAUCCAACUAGGAAGGCAUUUUAUUUAUUGUUAUAUGAAAUAGUGCUAAAAGAAGUCAUAUCUCACCAUUUCUACAUCGUGAGAUAGAUCGUAGACUUCAAUAUACUUAAAUUAUAAGAAUGUCUCCCAGAAUUAAAAACACUUUGUCCCGAUUACAUAUAAAUUCUCCUAUUAUUGUAACAACUCAUUAUCACUAUUUUAAAAGCUCGCUAACUAUCAAUACAUGAAAUUGCGCAUAAUAAAAUAAGCCUAAUAUAUCAUUAAUACACUACUUAGCUAAGUGUUUAUGUCUCACUUAUUUCCAAAUCCACAUAUAAAUAUUCUAAAAAUAUCACUAACGGGUGAAGCCGAUCAUAGCCGUAGAGACUUUCUUUCUCUAUUACCUUGAAAGUUGGGUAGCCAUGUCCCCUCAAGAUUAGCCCGAAGCACAAUUUUAAUGUCUACUCCCUCCGUCCUAAAAAAGGCAAACCCUGGGUUUCCGUGUCCAACUUAAACUGUCCGUCUUAUAUGAAAUUUUUUUAUAAUUCGCAUUUUCAUUGUUGUUAGAUGAUAAAACAUGAUUAAUAUUUUAUGCGUGACUUGUCUUUUUAAUUUUUUUAUAAUUUUUUCAAAUAAGACGGACGGUCAAACGUUGGGCACGGAAACCAGGGUUUGUCUUUUAUUGGGACGGAGGGAGUAAUUUACUAUAACACUUUCAUAGAGUCCUAUAACACACUUGGGCCACUCAACUCGGCCAUUUGUAUGCCACGUUAGAGGGUAAAUAACGGGUCCACCAAUUUAAAUGAAAAUCGAUGGUGAGAUUAUACAGUACCAUGUGAUGGCUUAGGAGCAUUUGUAGCAGCGUCAUAUGGCGACUUAGGAGUAUUCGUAGAAAGUUUAUGAACGUUUAGUAUAUAAUAGUUUUUCUUGCUGCGAAUAGUAGUACCGAAGCUUUAUUUCUUUUUCAUUCUAACGUACGUUUGUAUAUGUACUUAUGUUUUUUUCACGGUAUAUACAUCUAAUCUAAUGGUCUAAAAUAACGGGUCCGCUAAUUUAAAUGAAAAUCGACAGUGAGAUUAUAUUACCACAUGGCGGUCUAGGAGUAUUUGUAGAAACGCCACAUGAAGACUUAGUACUGUUUUGUAGAUCACAAAUUGGAUAUAUAAUUUUAAAAUAAUUUGAAAAGAUGAACAUUUAAAGAUGGUUGAUUUUAUAUUUAUAUUAUAGAUCUAGUUUAACACUGCAUCUAUAUAUUUGUGAAUGUGAAGUAAUAUAUUUCAUCUUUAUAUCGUAGAUAGUUCUAUUUUAAAGACCGUCGAUUUUUUUAUGGUACUAAGUACUUAUAUUUUAUUUUGGCUUAUAGUAAGUACGUGCAUAUUUUUUUUUUCUUCCGGCAAACAUUAUGCACAUGAGAAAGGCAUGAGAAAGGUAUUACAUAUUUAAUAGUAAAAAAAACAGGUCCAAUAAUUUAUAAAUCGAUAACAUAUAUGGAUAAAAUAAUGGAUCGAAAAUCGUUCAAUUGCAUGUGUAUAUUUGUGGGCCAAUAUAUCUUUAUAUUGUAGAGCGAUAUUUGCUUUUUUGAUAGUACUAAGCAUGUAUGCUUUAUUUUGGUUGUCGUAUGUACAUACAUACGUUCUAUUCCUCUGGCAAACAGUACAGAGAAAGAUAUUAUAUAUACUAGUAAUCGUGCACGUGCAAGGCACGUUUUUUUUAACAUUUAUAAUAGGAGAGAAUAAACUAUAGAGUAAAUUUCACUUUCAAUCAUUUUUAUCACCAUUGUUUGCUUUGGACUGGGUAAUCUUGUAUUUGUUCCACUUUUGAUUACCGACUCUCUUUUAACGUAUAUGAAAGAUUUUGAGUACGUCGGCUCCUAUUUAUCAAUGAACUCCCACAGCAAUAUAUAGACCAAUUCUUUUGACAUAUGACAAGUUGGAUUAGGUGGUUGAAAAAGUUGAGGGUAGUCUAAAAUGCCACAAAGGUAAAAUUACCUGUCCGAAAGUGAAACAUUGAUUAAAGAGUGGUUCAAAGCGAAACAUCGAUAAUAAAAGGUUGUCGAAGGAGAAAUUUACUCGAUAGGAAUCAUGCAUACAGGGUCAUCGUCAGCACACUAUAUGUUUGCUCCAAGCCUCCAAAUCAUCAGCUCCGCCACCAGGCAUCUUGACCAAGCUCUAGCACCCCUGAUGUUACUUAGCAGCAACACCUGCAUUUCUGCUGGUAUAUGUGCCAAAGAAAUGACUUAUACCAUGACAUGACUAAUUAUCAAACACACAGUUAGCAAAAGCAUGUAGACCUGCACAAUUAUCUUGUCGGUUUUCUCUUCAGGGUUGAGCAACACAUAAUUGGACGUCAUCAUGAUGUAUAUAUGCAGCAAGGGGUCGAGUAUUCUCCAAGAAAGAAAAAAAAAACAAAAUAAUGUAUCUUAUCAUCUCUGACUACACAAAUGCUCACUAUGAAAUCUUAUGAGAAAGACCAAACAAUAACGGGUAACUAAGAAUGCUGUUAAUAAGCUUAAACAUGAAUUUUACCUCAAGGUUCCAAUAUAUACUGUAGUAAUAGCUCUUAAAAACAGUGUACCAAACAGUGAAAUGCCAUGGUAAACCAUGACAAGAUUUUAGCAAAAUAUUCAGUUGUUGUCUACAAUGUCAACCUGCAUUAUAAACAACAGAAGUAAGCCAGUAUAUUUAGAUGCCUAAUAGAAUUACACAAAUACUUUUUGAUAUCACGGUUUUUCUUAUUGUUAUAUACCAGAAACAGUUUACAAACCUAAUUUACAGUUUUAUUAUGUAAGGGAAGAAAAAGAGAUUUGAUACUUGCAUGCAUUACAUAAAAAUUUUGACCAUGUAUGCUAGCAUUUUACUAAGCAAAUCUGAACAUUAAUUGCCACAAUACAAAAAAAGCUAUGUAUAAUUUCUCAAUACUCGAACAAAAUCUGAAACACCAUGAUGUGAUCUUCAUUGGUUGAAGGAGUACAUAGUGAUACCCGAACUUCCUGACUGGCAUGUACAAUUUUGUUUUUCUAUAAAAAUAUAGUAUCGUGCAUAAUUCGACAAUGUAAUAUAUGUAUAUCCAUAUGCAAAAGAAAUUGCAUACCUGACAUAAUAGUAGGGAGAAGUGGAGGACUUCUCAGGCACAGAUCAUCACAAGGAAUGAAACAAACGAAGACUGCUAGUGGCAGAUAAAUCACUUCGCCCUGGAAACAACGCUGGAGGCCUGCUAGCGAGGUUAUCAGUAAAGAACAGUAUGCGGCAACAUAUUAGUCAGGACUUGACACAAUUAUUCGGAAACACACGCACGUAUGUUGAAAUAAAAAAAAAAUGGAGAGGCUGAUUUACAUAUUGAAAUUUAGGGCUUUGCAAACGUGAACGUGCCAACUACAGAAACAUGUCAUUACCUGUUCAAUCCGCUGGAUUUGGUGUGGAGCUUCCAGUGGCGCUAUCCAUUUUAGUAGACAGAGAAAGGUAGAAAUAAGUGACCACCUGCAUAUAUACAUGAGCACAGUUUGAAAUCAACAGUUGAUCGAUCAAUAUGAUUACUGAUUAUCUCGGGAUUGAUCAGGUGGUGAUAUUUUGCAUGCAUGCAAUGAGAAAUUAGCUGAUUACACAAGGUUAUAACUCUGUUCUUCUACAUUAUUAAAUUAUGUUGUGGGUGAUGAAAAUAAGUUUCACGUCUCCUAUAGACUAUAAUCAGAAUUUUUGUUUACCUGCAGAGAAAGAGUAUGAACUAUGUACAACAUUGAAGUGUUUAGUGUCAGCAAACUGGACUGCACCCUGAAUUCGUGAAGAAAGGAGAACACAAUGGAUCAAAUUGCUUGCAAUAGACAGUACCUAAGCAGGAUUUUGCUGAACACCUGCAACUCACGCAAAGGGAAUUAGCAUCAGCAAUUCUAUCAACAGUUUAAGAGAUUCCCAUGGAUUACAAUUCGCCACAUAAUUUGAAGAUAAAACACAAAUGCAUAUUGAAAAUCAACACACAAAAAAGCAAAAGGCCAAUAUUUGUUCAGAUAAAAAGUAUUGUAUCCACGAUUGACCCUGCAACGGAUGAUCGACGGGCAAAUCAAAGCCAGGCGGCCAAAUCAAGCGUCCUUCAUCUUCUUGGUGGAGAUGGAUGGCUUGUCGGUGGGCUGAGGAGUCUGAACCAUGGGUUAUGAACCGAGAGAUUGAAGGAAGAGCAGGCGCCACCGCGGCCGGCAGAGAAGCAACGACUGAGGACGCUGCCGCGAAGAUUGAGGAACAACACCAGGUAGGAGGGUAAGCAGAUCCUUUUCACAUCGGAGUAGGACGGCAGGAAGCGCGCUCUCACCUCGACGCUGGCGGGGGAGGCUGCGAUCUGCGGUGGGAUGACGUGAUUUGCGAUGAGAGAAGGCGCACGGCGGCAGCUAGCGCACGAUUUGCAGGUAGGUGGUGGGAGGCGUAGCGGCUUCCGUAGCAUGUGCUAUAGCGGCGACAGGAGCGUGCGAGGAGGCAUUGGCGCGGCAGCGGUGUCAUCGGGCUGUGUCUAGCGGCAGGGAUAGCGCUUAGAGGCGGUGUUUCUGCGCUAGAAUCGCGCGUCCGCUCGGUGGGGAUGGGGAAUCAGUGAUUUGGAUGGAGCAAAAUCGGAUUUGGAUUCCACUGUUGCAUUGCAUCGUAACACAGAGCAGCCCCACAGCCGUCUCGAGCGGUUAGAUGUACAGAUCGGACGGCUAAAUAAAGGAAUGGGAAGAUGUUGAUUUCACCCGUAGGAUUGCAAGGAGACAACUCCUCCUAUAUAUAUAUAUAUAUAUAUAUAUAUAUAUAUAUAUAUAUAGACACACGCGCGCGCGCGCACACACAUAUAAUAUAUUAACUGAAAAUCGAUGCAUGUAUAGAUCUAAUCUAACGGUAUAAAAUAAUGGGUCCACCAAUUUAAAUGAAAAUCGACGGUGAGAUUAGACUGUGCCAUGUGACGAUCUAAGAGUGUUUGUAGGAGUGCCACGUGGCAGCUUGAGAGCGUUUGUAGGAAGUUUAAUGAUUUUUAGUAUAUAACUAGGAUGAUAGCCCACGCGAAUGCGCGGGCAUACGUAUUAGUUUGUUCUGAAAAUAGUUCUAACAAAAUAAAGUGAAAUUAAGGUAAGGUGUUUUCUAUUUUUAACAGGGUGUUCAUUGUAUCUCUUUUUGAAGAAAUCUCGAUAAACUUUUGCUGGCAAUAAAUGUUUUUUACCACCUUGUCAAUCCUCUUUUUAAUUGAUUCAUAUAUAUGUGUAAUUCGUUAUGCAUGUGAAUCAAUAAUGAUAAGUUCUUUUAAAACUAUUAGUUAUAUUUUGAAUGUAGUGGUUGAGUGAUUAUAAUUUCGAAUUUGUUUUCAAAUCAAAUUAUUGUGUUAUUCUAAAUUUUCAUUUUAAGGAUUUUAAUUUGUACUUAAUCUCGUAUCGUGUUGUAUUUGGACUCAUCUUUUAAUAUUUAUUUUAUUAUUAUUCCAAAUUUUAGAUAUUUAUAACUUAUACUUUUAUAUGGACUGUUUUAUAUUAUACAUGGGAUCUUGUUAUACAUUUUUUAAUAGUUUUAAUGGUUUUUUUUAAAAAAAAAUUGAAUGUGUAUUUUAAUCAAAUUGAUUAUUUUUUCUGAAUUUAAUUCUGAACUCCUCGGCGAUAGAAACGUCUCUCUCUGGCCCUCCUCUCAGUCCUUUGUCCUUCACCUAAUCAUCUAGCAUGCUAUUAGGCUUAGAAGUCAUGGAAAGUCUAUGCUGGCGCUUCCGUCGGUGUCCACCUCGCUAAGGUUGUGUUCUUCCCCCCUCCUUUCCCAACUUAACUCUCUCGUUUUCGGUGCACAUGUUUUCCAAACUAAUAAAUGGUGUUUUUUCUAAAAGUUUUCUAUAGAAAAAUUGCUUUAGAAACAUAUUAAUCCAUUUUAUAAAAAAUUUAACUAAUACUUAAUUAAUAAUAAUCUAAUGUAAUGAGUCGCUUUGUUUUACGUGCGUGGGAGAGAUUAGCUCCAAAACCUAUCUAAUGAACACAACCUAAUAAUAUCUUGCAGCUCCGCCUCCGUUGAGUUCAGGCCCAGGGUAUCCACCAUGGUUCCAAGCUCUUUGAUGGUGGUUGAAUCUAGACUUUAGACUCACAUAUUUGAAUUCAUUUGUCUUUUCACAGUGCAAAUUUUGCUCAAAUAUUUGUAGUCAUAAUGGCUACAUUAUCUAAAUUUUAUAUAGUAAAUAUGGGUAAAUGGAUCUUGAAUUAUGUAUUUAAUUAUAAAUAACAUGACAAAAUGCAAAUAAAUUGAGAAAAGUGCAUGUAACUUGAGAGUCAUGAUCAUUUAACUAUCUGAUUAUUAUUAUUUAUAUAUUAUAUGUUAGCUAGAAAAUAGGAAAUGUUGGCUCGAAAAUAGGAGAGGAGACUGGGAUCCCGGAGGAGAGAGUUGGAGGGUUGAGAGACUACGUACGUACAUGUGUGCCCACACACGGCGGGGUUGGGGGUACCAUAUUUUCGUGUAUUGGGGGUACCAUAUUUUUUUUUGAGAGAUCUAACGGUUAAAAUUAGUGGGUCCGCCUAUUUAAAGAAAUAUCAAUGGUUAGUCUUUUUCUUUUUUAUCAAAACUUUUAGGAUUUUUUUUCUAAUUUAUUAGAUCGUCAAAAGGCAUCUUAAGAACAUUUGUAAAAUGCGACGUGACAGUUUGAGAGCAUUUGUAGGGAGUUCAAUGAACUUUUAACUUUUAGUAUAUAAUAGAUGUUUAAUGGAUUUUCAGUAUAUAAUAUAUAGAUAGAUGUGUAAAGAAUAUAAUGCAGUAAACUUUCUUCAAACAUUAUAUACGUUUAUGAUGAUGCAGUCUAGGUUUGCAAAGUUAUAAUUGUUUGUUUUUAAUAAUGAAUGUUAUUUCAAUUAUCCUUAGAAAUUAUAAAAGGAAAGGAGAGAAAUAUGGACGUGAUAAGGGUGAGCGGUUUCGCACGUGCGUACGUACUUACUUCAUAUGUACGGACUUAUGGGAGAGCUGGGGCCGUUGUACAUUAAUACAAGGGUUUAUAAUAUCGGACCCACUAAUUUAAGUGAAUAUUUUAAGGGUUAGAUAUUUUGCUUUUGUAGAAUUUCCAUUAUUUAUUUAUCAGAGCGCCACGUGGUAGCUUAGGAGUAUUUGUAGGGGUGGCAUGUAGCGACUUAGGACCGAUUUAAGUGAAUAUCGAUGGACAAAUAUUUUUGUUACAAAAUAAUCUAAAAUAAUGGGUACAUAAUAUAAUAUAAUGGUGUAAACUUUAUUUUCAAAUAUUGUAGAGCUAAUUUAUUUAUGUUCACUUGUAGAGAUUUGUAUGCUGGUAUAUUCUAUAUUUGUAAAGUGACUUUUAUUCAAAAUUUAUUAUCACUUAUUAUUAUUAUUAUUAGUAUUAUUAUUAUUAUUAGUACUACUACUAUUAUUAUUAUUAUCUCAAUUAUAUACCGGAAAAAAAGAGAAAGAAUAGUAACGUACCUUGGAAAAAAAAGGUUAUGUACGUGCAUGCACCCCCUUUAACAGAUCGCAUGCAAGCAGUAACGUACCUAUAUAUGGAAUGGAACUGAGGAGUUAUUUUGAGAUAAAUCUAAUCUAACGGUUUAUAAUAUUGGACCCACCGAUUUAAGUGAAAAUCGAGGGAUAGAUAUUUUUCUUUUUUCUCAGAUUUUCUAGAAUUUUCUCUAAUUUAUUAGAGCGCCACGUGGCGGUUUGAGAGCGUUUUGAGGAAGCUUCAUGGAAUUUUAGUAUAUAAUAGAUAGAUAGAUAGAUAGAUAGAUAGAUAGAAGAUAGAUAGAUAGAUAGAUAGAUAGAUAGAUAGAUAGAUAGAUAGAUAGUUCUCCGUUCAAUAAACAAUUGCAUCCUUUGUUCCUCGGCUCAGCUCUCAAAUUCCUACCAACAAGGAGGGUUGUGUAUCCCUCCCGGGCCGCCUGAAAACGUACGUAAAUCCAAAAUCAGAUUUAAUCAAAUCGUGCAAGCAAAAGAAAACUAUAGCUACUGAUAUGUAUUCUCCUCAGAGUUGCCUCUCUUUAGCUCUGGUAAUGACACUUGUAAUGCAAACAAUUGAUCAGCUAGCUACAAAUCAUAAUCCCACAUGCCAUCACCUGGGGGGACAGACACUAAUGCAUGAUCGCUCGGGCAUGCCCCCCCCCCCCCCCCUUUUGCCUGUCCGUACAUACUAAAUAUAUACACAAAGAUAUAGGUAUAAAGUUUGUAUAUGUACGUAUACAAAUUUUAAUUAAGGACAGUUAACAAAGAACAUGUUGUUCAUUAAAAUUGGUUUACUCCAGACAGCAUAGAUCAUGAGUCCUCUUGGCUCAUGAGAAAUGAAACCUCUGUAAGGGGGUUGGUCUCCAUGCGUAUAAAGUAUAUUUUGCAACCAUAUAUCAAUUUGGUCCUCAGUUAAACAUCGUGUACCGUAUAUGCAUAGUUUCAACCAUGUCAUCUAUGUACCAUGAUCUAAGGCAGCAUAAAGUAUAUUUGCAACCAUGAUUUAAUUUUUUUUAACCAUGGUAUUUACCAUCAAACCUUUAGCUGUAAACUAUACUGAUAUUUUCAUCCAUGUCAUCUGCACAUGAUGUUGCCUGUAACAGAUCAUACGGAAUGGGCAUUGACUAAUACAUAUAUACUUCAAUUUUUUCAGAUCAGACAAAGAAGUAACUCCAACAAGAAUUUACUGAGAAUGAGGAGAUGGAUGUCCAUGGAUAACUACUUUUGGAAGAUGUUGAAACUAUAUAUUGGAUUAUGUUAUUUUGCUAUGUGAUGGACUGCACAAACUACAUGUUGGAUGAUUUUAUUUUCCUAUGUUGAGACAAUUUGGACUGGUGAUGUAUUGUUAAGCCUAUUUGAAACCUUUGUAAUGGACUGUGAAACUAUUUGGACUAUUAAAGCUAUGUGAUGACUUGUAAUGGAUUUAUUGAUGUAUGCAGUUGUAAUGGACUGAUUGCUUGCAAGAUUACUUUUAUAUUUUGAAAAUCAUGAAUUAUCUUGCUGCAAAACUGGGCUCUGCGCGGCCCAAGUUUUUUGUCCCCCAAAUUUCGGAAUCUUCGGACGAAAUUUCAAAUUUGAAUUAAAAAUUUCGUACGAAAAAUCAUGAAAUUUCGGUGAUUUUGGUUAUUUCGACACCCCCCCCCCCCCCCCCACACACACACACAGAACAAAAAGCACCAUUUCAAAACUGCAAACCCCUGAUACAAGGAAAGCUCCGUUCUGGCGUGUCGUCGCCGGACCGCCGUCGCUGGGCCACGGAAUUCGACAGCUCCGACGACGGCGGCGACAUGGCGCAGGGCGGACGGCAUUGGGAGCGACUGGGUCGGUCGUCCCUCCGCUCGUAUGCGGCGCGGGCAACCACGGGUAACCCUUCUUUAGAGCUUAUAUUAUAUUAUUAUUCCUUUUCAGCGACUAAGUCAUGCAUCUAGAGUUGAUGUAAAUUUCAUUGGAUUGGUCGAACAAAUCCAGGAAAUGUCAUUGCUGACGAAAUCUUUAAAAAUCUUAAUUUUGUACAUUUGACUUGACUGCGUCCUGGUCUUCUCUAAGCCUGGAGCACAAAAAUUGUACCUACAAAAAACGACGGGGAGAUUGGAACCCUUGUUUUCGCCUUCAAGUUUUAACAUGUAAACAUCGACCUCUCUCAAGUCGUCGAGCACCUUGUCUCAAGCUCUUUGCACAUGGCCAGAGGAUUGUCUCAUUAGCUGACAUUGCAAUGCAACUAAUCUGGCCGCUUCCUUUGAUUCUUGCUAAAUUACUUCUUCUUUGUUCUUGUAAACGACGCUUCCCAAUUCUCGUAAUCUGUGUGCACAAGUUCAGCAAUGCCGCUGUGUCUUGCGUCUUCCUCUGUCUGUCUCACGUUGCUGCUCCAGAGGCGAAUGCAGGGUAGUGUGCAUCCCUACUUCAAUUCGAUGAAAGGCAGUAUUAGCAGUAUCCCGGGUGCACUCUGUCAACAAGUUCAGAGAAAGUGUCAACAUAAUCAGAAUGCCAUAAUACACUAAUACUUUCAUCUUUAAAAAGACAGAUUACAUAAUAUUCCGUCUAUGUUGAUUGUAGCAAUGAUUUAGUUAUUAUACCGUACAUUUAUCCAUCCAGGGUCCCGCCUCAUCUCAUAUAUUUUUUAUUUUUUCUUUUGGAAGAGAAAUCUCAUAUAAAAAUUUCAGGCCAUGCUAGCAUUUACCAAUUCUGAAAAUAGGCACACACUGUGACACAUGAGACUUUAUUUACAGGGACAUUUAACUCGCUGUCUAUGACAUGUGGGCCCUCAUGUGUCUAUGACAUAUGGGUCUAGUAGCAAAUAAUUUAGCACCACUCGUAAGAGUGGCAAAUAGUUAAUUAUUCCUUAUUUACACAAAGGGUGUGCACAAGGUACAUUGGCUAUUUGGCAAAUCUAUCUUGCUAGCAAUACUGUGGUACAAGCAAAUAUGUGUGUCCGGUGCUUAUUAGGGUUCAAGAAUGAAAAAAAAGAGGGGUACAGUGUCAUGCUUGCUCACUUUGUGCUGGGUGAACAGCACACAGUGACUAGACGCAGACAAGUAGAAAUGUAAACAGUGGAAGAAGAAAAAAAGGAAAAACUAAAAACAGGACACAGUACGGUAGCACAUGAUCUACACGACCUCAUUUUACAGGUACAUGCUGAUUGAUCAAAAUACAAUUAACCCAGAAAAAAUGAUACGCACACAAACUCAUAUUCUUUUUUUUUUGUUCUGUUUUUAUAAAGCACGAAUUGGGCUCGCCAUCGACAGCACUACUUAUAUAUGCUCGGCGAAAAUAUCGAUAGGACUCUGAUUUCUAUCUGUGAUAUAUAGGUAGCGAUCGAUCUCGUGAUCUCUUCUCACCGGAUAUAUUUAAUUUCGACCUCCAAUUUGAUCGAGAUGUUACCACACACAGGGCGUCUGACAAAUGCCAAACAGCCAGAAAGCCCUAUCAAGUAUUUUGCCUAUCCCUGCACAAUUGAACAACAAACCAGGGUUAAUUAGACUGCCACAGGAGAGAUGACCUAUAUAUCGACAAAACCGAGAACAAGGUAAUUUAAACUGCAAAUCAUCUAAAGAAGAAAUUAAGGUACAAAGGGAGGAGAUGGAAUGUGCAUUUGCUCAAGUCACUAGUAUGAUCCUAGCUGCUGUACCAGCAUGUUGAAUGGGGUGUUGUCACUUUCGUUUGAUUGGUUGAGCUCUGUUCCAGUUUUCUCAUUCGAGUAACUUUGUUUGGUACAAAUACUAGUUAUCGUCAAAUUUAUAUAUGUUUGAGUGGGUAGGGCUGUCAUUGUGCUCCCAAGUCCCAACAAACCGUGUUCGACUCUCGACACACUCUUUUUGCUUCUUAGGGCUGUUCGGCUGGACUAGCUCCAAGAUAGCAGGGGCUGUAGCAGCUGCAGCUGCAGUCCCAGCUUACCGAAUAUGCCCUUAAUAUAUCGAUAUUAUAUUAAAGGUUUUGUUUUAAUAUAAUGGCGCUGUUUUAUCAUCAAAAGGACUGCCCUUUUUAUUGAUGUGUGGCGGAUUUUAGUGCAGAAAAUUUGCAUAUUUAUUAAAAGAAUGUUUGCAUAUGGAGGCUCCAGGGCCAGUAGGAAACCAGAGAGAGAGAGAUUGAUGGCUCAAUUCUUCUUGAAACAUCUCCCACUCCAGCUCCAGUUUCUUAUUUUUCUUUUCAAUGGAAGAUUAUGGAGCCCAUUGUCUCUGUCUCUGUAAUGUGUUCUUUGGGCCAAGCCAGAUUGUAUCCCUUGUCUGAAAAAGGUCAUAAACUUGAGUACUUGACCCAUGCAAAGCUCUAGAUUUUGCAGUGCUUUGCUUCUAUUCGCAGUAAGGUUUUGCCACUGAAAAUUUCCGUGCUCAGAUAGUCGGAUGCCAAGUGCGGCCAUUAUGGAGCCCAUAAAAAGGAGUUCCAGUAUAUCAUUACCAUAGCAUCUCCACUCUGGCAAGACAGUUCAUGUGUGCAAUUCCUCCCAUUCUCCAAUUUUCAUAGACCACUCUUGAAAUUUAUGCAGUUCCGUGGGCACAUCUGUUUCAGAGCCAUUAGAGCAGAAUUGGCACAAGGUAAUCAAUCAAUAGGUCCCUUUCGUUUGGUUUCUGUGAAAUAUUCUUCCAGUGAUCGAUCACAUCUCAUGAUGAAGUUCUUAAACUUUCAUUCUGUCAGUCCCUAUAUAUACAUACAUCAUGAUGAUGGUUAAACUUCAAUUUGGAGUAAUAAUACUUAUGUUACGUUACCUCAAUAGGCUUUUUUUCAUCGGAGUGGAGGAAGAAUGCGUAGAACCCUCCAAGCACAGUUGCUGCGGCCAUGGCCCAAACCAGCACCUGAACCGGGAAAGGCAUGAUGGCCGCCACUUUAUAUGAAAACACGGCGGUGAGCAUCGUCGUCAGGAGCC